UGUCAGGGGUAGGGUUAGGGAUAGGUUUAGGGUUUGUUUUAGUUUUGUUUAAGGUUAGGGUUUGAAUAAAGUUAGGGUAGGUUUAGGGUUAUGGUUAGGUCUGGGCUAAGGAUUAGGGUUAGAGUUAGGGUUAGGGGUGUUUUGGUUAGGUUUAGGGUAGGGUUUUAUUUAGGGUUAGGGUAAGAAUUAGAGUUACGUUUACACUUAAGGUGAAGGUUUUGGGUAUGUGUUAAGGUUAGGGUUAGGGUUAGAGUUAGGAUUAGGGUUUAGGGUUAGGUUUAAUUUUAUGGUAGGGUUAAAGUUAAGGUUAAGGUUAGGUUGGAGUUAGGGUAGGGUUAGGAUUAGGAUUAGGUUUAGGGGGAGGUUUAGGGUCAGAGUUAUCGUAAGGGUUAGGUGUAGGGUGACUGGUGGGCCAAGGUUAAGGUUAGUGUUAGGUUUAGGGGUAGGGUUAGGGUUAAAGUUAGGGUUAGCUUUAGGUUAGGGACAGGGUGAAGUUUAAGAUAGGGUGAGGGUUAGGGUUAUGGCUAAGGUUCGGGUUAGUUUUCGGGUUAGUGUUAAGGUUACGUUUAGGGUUAGGGUUAAGUUUAUGGGUUGUGUUUAGUUUUAGGGUUAGGGUUAGAUUUUAGGUUAGGGUUAAGUUUAGUGUAACAGUUAAGGUUACGGUUUGUGUUAGGCAUUGUGGUUGGGGUGAGGUUUAGGUUUAGGGUUAGGGUUGUGUAUGCUUAGGAUUAUGGUUAUGGUAAGGUGUUAGGGGUUAGAAGUGUAGUUUAGGGUUAGGGGUGGGUGAGGGUUCUGGUAAAGCAUUGUGGUUCUGACCAUGGUUAGGUUUGGUUUAGGGUUACGGUUAGCUUUAUGAUUAGGUUUCAGGUUAGUGUUCGAGUUAGAGUUAACGUUUGGGUUAGGCUUUGGUGUUAGGGGUUAGGGUUUGGGUUAGGGUUAGGGUUAUUGUUAGGGCUCAGGGGUUCAGGUUAGUGUUAGGGUUAGGGUUACGGAUAGCAUUAGGGUUAGGGUUGGGGAUACGGAUAGGGGUUAGGGUGAGGGUUACGGUUAGUUUUACAGUUAUGGUGAGUGUUCAGGGUAAGUGUUAUGGUUAUGGUUAGAGUUAGGGUUAGGGUUCGGGUGAAGUUUCAGUUAAUAGUGAGGGUUACGCUAAAAGUUAGGGUUAAUGUUAGAGUUAGGGUUAAGGUUAGCGUUAGUGGUAGGUUUAGGGUAGGUAAGGUUAGGGUUAAGACUAGGUUUACGGUAAAGGGUUGGGCUGGGUUAGGGUUAGGGUUCGGUUUAGAAUUAUACUUAGUGCUGAGUUUAGGGUUAGGGUUAGGGUCAGGAUUCGAGUUAUUGUUUGGUUUCGGUAUAGGUAGAGUUAAGGUUAGGUUUAAGUUUAGGUUUAGGGGAAGGGUUAGGUUUACGUCAGCGUUAGGUUUAGGAUUAGGGAUCGGGUUAGGGUUUGUGAAAGGGUUAGGGGUUCGUCUGAGGGUAAGUGUUAGGUUUACAGUUAAGCUGAUGUUUUAGGGUGUUAUGGUUAGGGUCAUUGUUAGGUUUAGCGUUCGGGCUAGAGUCAGGUGAUAGUUUAGGGUUAGGUUUAGGUUUAGUUUUAGGGUUAGGCUUAGGCUUAGGUUUAGGGUGAAGUUUAGGUUAAGGAUGAGGGUUAUGUUUAGGGUUAGUGUUAGGGUUAGGUGUUUGGGUUAAGGUUAGGGUCAGUUUAGGGUUCGGUUUAGAGUUCGGGUUAGCGUUAGGGUUCGGGUUAGGUGUUUGGGUUAACGUUAGGGUCAGGUUUAUGUUUGCGUUUAGGGUUAGUGUUGGGUUCGUUUUAGGGUUAGUGUUUGGGUGAAAUUUAAGUGAAGAGUGAGGGUUGAGCUUAGGGUUAGGGGUUAGGGUUAGGGUUAAGGUUCGUUUUAGGUUUAGGUUUAAGAUUAGGUUUAGGGUAAGUGUUAGGGUUAAAUCAUGGUUAGGCUAGGGCAUGGUUAAGGUUAGAGAUAGGGUGAGGUUAAGGGUUGGGGUUAGGUUUAGAUGUUAGGGUGAGGGUUAGUGCUAGGUUUCCAUUUAAGUUGAGUUUGUAGGGUAAGUUUUAGGGUUGGAUUAGGGUUAGAGUUAGAGUUAGGGUCAGGGUUAGGGUUAAGGUUCGGGUUAGGGUUAGGUUUAUGGUUAGGAUUUGGGUUACGGUCAGGGUUAGGGGGAGAUUUAGUGUUAUGUUUAGUUUCAGGGUCAGGGUUAGGGUGCAGUUUAGGUUAAGGAUGAGGGUUAGGGUUAGGUUUAGUGUUAGGGUUAGGUGUUUGGGUUAAGGUUAGGGUCAGGUUAGGGUUAGGGUUAGGGUUAGGCUUACUGUUUGUUAGGGUUAGGGUUAGGUGUUUGGGUUAAUGUUAGAGUCAGGUUUAGGGUUAGGUUUAGAGUUAGGAUUAGGAUUCGGUUUAAAGUUAGAGUUCGGGAUAGGGUGAAGUUUAAUUUAAGGGUGAGGGUUGAGCUUAGGGUUUGGGGUAGGGGUUAGGGUUCAGGUUAGGAUUAGGUUUAAGGUAAAGGUUAGGUUUAGGGUCAGGUUUAGGGUAAGUGUUAGGAUUAAGUCAUGUUUAGGUGUAGGGCUAGGAUAAGGUUAGAGAUAGGGUUAGGUUAAGGGUCGGGUUUAGGUUUAGAUGUUAGGGUGUGGGUUAGUGGUAGGUUUCCAUUUAAGCUGAGUGUGUAGGGUAAUUUUUAUGGUUAGGAUUAAGGUUAGAGUUAGGGUCAGGGUCAGGGUUAGGGUUAAGUUUAGGGUUAGUUUUAUGGUUAGGAUUGGGUUAGGUUCAUGGUUGGGGGAGAUUUAGUGUUAUGUUUAGUUUUAGGAUAGGGUUAGGGUGAAGUUGAUGUUAAGCGUGCGGGUUAGGGUUAGGGCUAGGGGUUAUUGUUCAGAUUAGUGUCAGGGGUAGGGUUAGGGAUAGGUUUAGGGUUUGUUUUAGUUUUGUUUAAGGUUAGGGUUUGAAUAAAGUUAGGGUAGGUUUAGGGUUAUGGUUAGGUCUGGGCUAAGGAUUAGGGUUAGAGUUAGGGUUAGGGGUGUUUUGGUUAGGUUUAGGGUAGGGUUUUAUUUAGGGUUAGGGUAAGAAUUAGAGUUACGUUUACACUUAAGGUGAAGGUUUUGGGUAUGUGUUAAGGUUAGGGUUAGGGUUAGAGUUAGGAUUAGGGUUUAGGGUUAGGUUUAAUUUUAUGGUAGGGUUAAAGUUAAGGUUAAGGUUAGGUUGGAGUUAGGGUAGGGUUAGGAUUAGGAUUAGGUUUAGGGGGAGGUUUAGGGUCAGAGUUAUCGUAAGGGUUAGGUGUAGGGUGACUGGUGGGCCAAGGUUAAGGUUAGUGUUAGGUUUAGGGGUAGGGUUAGGGUUAAAGUUAGGGUUAGCUUUAGGUUAGGGACAGGGUGAAGUUUAAGAUAGGGUGAGGGUUAGGGUUAUGGCUAAGGUUCGGGUUAGUUUUCGGGUUAGUGUUAAGGUUACGUUUAGGGUUAGGGUUAAGUUUAUGGGUUGUGUUUAGUUUUAGGGUUAGGGUUAGAUUUUAGGUUAGGGUUAAGUUUAGUGUAACAGUUAAGGUUACGGUUUGUGUUAGGCAUUGUGGUUGGGGUGAGGUUUAGGUUUAGGGUUAGGGUUGUGUAUGCUUAGGAUUAUGGUUAUGGUAAGGUGUUAGGGGUUAGAAGUGUAGUUUAGGGUUAGGGGUGGGUGAGGGUUCUGGUAAAGCAUUGUGGUUCUGACCAUGGUUAGGUUUGGUUUAGGGUUACGGUUAGCUUUAUGAUUAGGUUUCAGGUUAGUGUUCGAGUUAGAGUUAACGUUUGGGUUAGGCUUUGGUGUUAGGGGUUAGGGUUUGGGUUAGGGUUAGGGUUAUUGUUAGGGCUCAGGGGUUCAGGUUAGUGUUAGGGUUAGGGUUACGGAUAGCAUUAGGGUUAGGGUUGGGGAUACGGAUAGGGGUUAGGGUGAGGGUUACGGUUAGUUUUACAGUUAUGGUGAGUGUUCAGGGUAAGUGUUAUGGUUAUGGUUAGAGUUAGGGUUAGGGUUCGGGUGAAGUUUCAGUUAAUAGUGAGGGUUACGCUAAAAGUUAGGGUUAAUGUUAGAGUUAGGGUUAAGGUUAGCGUUAGUGUUAGGUUUAGGGUAGGUAAGGUUAGGGUUAAGACUAGGUUUACGGUAAAGGGUUGGGCUGGGUUAGGGUUAGGGUUCGGUUUAGAAUUAUACUUAGUGCUGAGUUUAGGGUUAGGGUUAGGGUCAGGAUUCGAGUUAUUGUUUGGUUUCGGUAUAGGUAGAGUUAAGGUUAGGUUUAAGUUUAGGUUUAGGGGAAGGGUUAGGUUUACGUCAGCGUUAGGUUUAGGAUUAGGGAUCGGGUUAGGGUUUGUGAAAGGGUUAGGGGUUCGUCUGAGGGUAAGUGUUAGGUUUACAGUUAAGCUGAUGUUUUAGGGUGUUAUGGUUAGGGUCAUUGUUAGGUUUAGCGUUCGGGCUAGAGUCAGGUGAUAGUUUAGGGUUAGGUUUAGGUUUAGUUUUAGGGUUAGGCUUAGGCUUAGGUUUAGGGUGAAGUUUAGGUUAAGGAUGAGGGUUAUGUUUAGGGUUAGUGUUAGGGUUAGGUGUUUGGGUUAAGGUUAGGGUCAGUUUAGGGUUCGGUUUAGAGUUCGGGUUAGCGUUAGGGUUCGGGUUAGGUGUUUGGGUUAACGUUAGGGUCAGGUUUAUGUUUGCGUUUAGGGUUAGUGUUGGGUUCGUUUUAGGGUUAGUGUUUGGGUGAAAUUUAAGUGAAGAGUGAGGGUUGAGCUUAGGGUUAGGGGUUAGGGUUAGGGUUAAGGUUCGUUUUAGGUUUAGGUUUAAGAUUAGGUUUAGGGUAAGUGUUAGGGUUAAAUCAUGGUUAGGCUAGGGCAUGGUUAAGGUUAGAGAUAGGGUGAGGUUAAGGGUUGGGGUUAGGUUUAGAUGUUAGGGUGAGGGUUAGUGCUAGGUUUCCAUUUAAGUUGAGUUUGUAGGGUAAGUUUUAGGGUUGGAUUAGGGUUAGAGUUAGAGUUAGGGUCAGGGUUAGGGUUAAGGUUCGGGUUAGGGUUAGGUUUAUGGUUAGGAUUUGGGUUACGGUCAGGGUUAGGGGGAGAUUUAGUGUUAUGUUUAGUUUCAGGGUCAGGGUUAGGGUGCAGUUUAGGUUAAGGAUGAGGGUUAGGGUUAGGUUUAGUGUUAGGGUUAGGUGUUUGGGUUAAGGUUAGGGUCAGGUUAGGGUUAGGGUUAGGGUUAGGCUUACUGUUUGUUAGGGUUAGAGUUAGGUGUUUGGGUUAAUGUUAGAGUCAGGUUUAGGGUUAGGUUUAGAGUUAGGAUUAGGAUUCGGUUUAAAGUUAGAGUUCGGGAUAGGGUGAAGUUUAAUUUAAGGGUGAGGGUUGAGCUUAGGGUUUGGGGUAGGGGUUAGGGUUCAGGUUAGGAUUAGGUUUAAGGUAAAGGUUAGGUUUAGGGUCAGGUUUAGGGUAAGUGUUAGGAUUAAGUCAUGUUUAGGUGUAGGGCUAGGAUAAGGUUAGAGAUAGGGUUAGGUUAAGGGUCGGGUUUAGGUUUAGAUGUUAGGGUGUGGGUUAGUGGUAGGUUUCCAUUUAAGCUGAGUGUGUAGGGUAAUUUUUAUGGUUAGGAUUAAGGUUAGAGUUAGGGUCAGGGUCAGGGUUAGGGUUAAGUUUAGGGUUAGUUUUAUGGUUAGGAUUGGGUUAGGUUCAUGGUUGGGGGAGAUUUAGAGUUAUGUUUAGUUUUAGGAUAGGGUUAGGGUGAAGUUGAUGUUAAGCGUGCGGGUUAGGGUUAGGGCUAGGGGUUAUUGUUCAGAUUAGUGUCAGGGGUAGGGUUAGGGAUAGGUUUAGGGUUUGUUUUAGUUUUGUUUAAGGUUAGGGUUUGAAUAAAGUUAGGGUAGGUUUAGGGUUAUGGUUAGGUCUGGGCUAAGGAUUAGGGUUAGAGUUAGGGUUAGGGGUGUUUUGGUUAGGUUUAGGGUAGGGUUUUAUUUAGGGUUAGGGUAAGAAUUAGAGUUACGUUUACACUUAAGGUGAAGGUUUUGGGUAUGUGUUAAGGUUAGGGUUAGGGUUAGAGUUAGGAUUAGGGUUUAGGGUUAGGUUUAAUUUUAUGGUAGGGUUAAAGUUAAGGUUAAGGUUAGGUUGGAGUUAGGGUAGGGUUAGGAUUAGGAUUAGGUUUAGGGUGAGGUUUAGGGUCAGAGUUAUCGUAAGGGUUAGGUGUAGGGUGACUGGUGGGCCAAGGUUAAGGUUAGUGUUAGGUUUAGGGGUAGGGUUAGGGUUAAAGUUAGGGUUAGCUUUAGGUUAGGGACAGGGUGAAGUUUAAGAUAGGGUGAGGGUUAGGGUUAUGGCUAAGGUUCGGGUUAGUUUUCGGGUUAGUGUUAAGGUUACGUUUAGGGUUAGGGUUAAGUUUAUGGGUUGUGUUUAGUUUUAGGGUUAGGGUUAGAUUUUAGGUUAGGGUUAAGUUUAGUGUAACAGUUAAGGUUACGGUUUGUGUUAGGCAUUGUGGUUGGGGUGAGGUUUAGGUUUAGGGUUAGGGUUGUGUAUGCUUAGGAUUAUGGUUAUGGUAAGGUGUUAGGGGUUAGAAGUGUAGUUUAGGGUUAGGGGUGGGUGAGGGUUCUGGUAAAGCAUUGUGGUUCUGACCAUGGUUAGGUUUGGUUUAGGGUUACGGUUAGCUUUAUGAUUAGGUUUCAGGUUAGUGUUCGAGUUAGAGUUAACGUUUGGGUUAGGCUUUGGUGUUAGGGGUUAGGGUUUGGGUUAGGGUUAGGGUUAUUGUUAGGGCUCAGGGGUUCAGGUUAGUGUUAGGGUUAGGGUUACGGAUAGCAUUAGGGUUAGGGUUGGGGAUACGGAUAGGGGUUAGGGUGAGGGUUACGGUUAGUUUUACAGUUAUGGUGAGUGUUCAGGGUAAGUGUUAUGGUUAUGGUUAGAGUUAGGGUUAGGGUUCGGGUGAAGUUUCAGUUAAUAGUGAGGGUUACGCUAAAAGUUAGGGUUAAUGUUAGAGUUAGGGUUAAGGUUAGCGUUAGUGGUAGGUUUAGGGUAGGUAAGGUUAGGGUUAAGACUAGGUUUACGGUAAAGGGUUGGGCUGGGUUAGGGUUAGGGUUCGGUUUAGAAUUAUACUUAGUGCUGAGUUUAGGGUUAGGGUUAGGGUCAGGAUUCGAGUUAUUGUUUGGUUUCGGUAUAGGUAGAGUUAAGGUUAGGUUUAAGUUUAGGUUUAGGGGAAGGGUUAGGUUUACGUCAGCGUUAGGUUUAGGAUUAGGGAUCGGGUUAGGGUUUGUGAAAGGGUUAGGGGUUCGUCUGAGGGUAAGUGUUAGGUUUACAGUUAAGCUGAUGUUUUAGGGUGUUAUGGUUAGGGUCAUUGUUAGGUUUAGCGUUCGGGCUAGAGUCAGGUGAUAGUUUAGGGUUAGGUUUAGGUUUAGUUUUAGGGUUAGGCUUAGGCUUAGGUUUAGGGUGAAGUUUAGGUUAAGGAUGAGGGUUAUGUUUAGGGUUAGUGUUAGGGUUAGGUGUUUGGGUUAAGGUUAGGGUCAGUUUAGGGUUCGGUUUAGAGUUCGGGUUAGCGUUAGGGUUCGGGUUAGGUGUUUGGGUUAACGUUAGGGUCAGGUUUAUGUUUGCGUUUAGGGUUAGUGUUGGGUUCGUUUUAGGGUUAGUGUUUGGGUGAAAUUUAAGUGAAGAGUGAGGGUUGAGCUUAGGGUUAGGGGUUAGGGUUAGGGUUAAGGUUCGUUUUAGGUUUAGGUUUAAGAUUAGGUUUAGGGUAAGUGUUAGGGUUAAAUCAUGGUUAGGCUAGGGCAUGGUUAAGGUUAGAGAUAGGGUGAGGUUAAGGGUUGGGGUUAGGUUUAGAUGUUAGGGUGAGGGUUAGUGCUAGGUUUCCAUUUAAGUUGAGUUUGUAGGGUAAGUUUUAGGGUUGGAUUAGGGUUAGAGUUAGAGUUAGGGUCAGGGUUAGGGUUAAGGUUCGGGUUAGGGUUAGGUUUAUGGUUAGGAUUUGGGUUACGGUCAGGGUUAGGGGGAGAUUUAGUGUUAUGUUUAGUUUCAGGGUCAGGGUUAGGGUGCAGUUUAGGUUAAGGAUGAGGGUUAGGGUUAGGUUUAGUGUUAGGGUUAGGUGUUUGGGUUAAGGUUAGGGUCAGGUUAGGGUUAGGGUUAGGGUUAGGCUUACUGUUUGUUAGGGUUAGGGUUAGGUGUUUGGGUUAAUGUUAGAGUCAGGUUUAGGGUUAGGUUUAGAGUUAGGAUUAGGAUUCGGUUUAAAGUUAGAGUUCGGGAUAGGGUGAAGUUUAAUUUAAGGGUGAGGGUUGAGCUUAGGGUUUGGGGUAGGGGUUAGGGUUCAGGUUAGGAUUAGGUUUAAGGUAAAGGUUAGGUUUAGGGUCAGGUUUAGGGUAAGUGUUAGGAUUAAGUCAUGUUUAGGUGUAGGGCUAGGAUAAGGUUAGAGAUAGGGUUAGGUUAAGGGUCGGGUUUAGGUUUAGAUGUUAGGGUGUGGGUUAGUGGUAGGUUUCCAUUUAAGCUGAGUGUGUAGGGUAAUUUUUAUGGUUAGGAUUAAGGUUAGAGUUAGGGUCAGGGUCAGGGUUAGGGUUAAGUUUAGGGUUAGUUUUAUGGUUAGGAUUGGGUUAGGUUCAUGGUUGGGGGAGAUUUAGAGUUAUGUUUAGUUUUAGGAUAGGGUUAGGGUGAAGUUGAUGUUAAGCGUGCGGGUUAGGGUUAGGGCUAGGGGUUAUUGUUCAGAUUAGUGUCAGGGGUAGGGUUAGGGAUAGGUUUAGGGUUUGUUUUAGUUUUGUUUAAGGUUAGGGUUUGAAUAAAGUUAGGGUAGGUUUAGGGUUAUGGUUAGGUCUGGGCUAAGGAUUAGGGUUAGAGUUAGGGUUAGGGGUGUUUUGGUUAGGUUUAGGGUAGGGUUUUAUUUAGGGUUAGGGUAAGAAUUAGAGUUACGUUUACACUUAAGGUGAAGGUUUUGGGUAUGUGUUAAGGUUAGGGUUAGGGUUAGAGUUAGGAUUAGGGUUUAGGGUUAGGUUUAAUUUUAUGGUAGGGUUAAAGUUAAGGUUAAGGUUAGGUUGGAGUUAGGGUAGGGUUAGGAUUAGGAUUAGGUUUAGGGGGAGGUUUAGGGUCAGAGUUAUCGUAAGGGUUAGGUGUAGGGUGACUGGUGGGCCAAGGUUAAGGUUAGUGUUAGGUUUAGGGGUAGGGUUAGGGUUAAAGUUAGGGUUAGCUUUAGGUUAGGGACAGGGUGAAGUUUAAGAUAGGGUGAGGGUUAGGGUUAUGGCUAAGGUUCGGGUUAGUUUUCGGGUUAGUGUUAAGGUUACGUUUAGGGUUAGGGUUAAGUUUAUGGGUUGUGUUUAGUUUUAGGGUUAGGGUUAGAUUUUAGGUUAGGGUUAAGUUUAGUGUAACAGUUAAGGUUACGGUUUGUGUUAGGCAUUGUGGUUGGGGUGAGGUUUAGGUUUAGGGUUAGGGUUGUGUAUGCUUAGGAUUAUGGUUAUGGUAAGGUGUUAGGGGUUAGAAGUGUAGUUUAGGGUUAGGGGUGGGUGAGGGUUCUGGUAAAGCAUUGUGGUUCUGACCAUGGUUAGGUUUGGUUUAGGGUUACGGUUAGCUUUAUGAUUAGGUUUCAGGUUAGUGUUCGAGUUAGAGUUAACGUUUGGGUUAGGCUUUGGUGUUAGGGGUUAGGGUUUGGGUUAGGGUUAGGGUUAUUGUUAGGGCUCAGGGGUUCAGGUUAGUGUUAGGGUUAGGGUUACGGAUAGCAUUAGGGUUAGGGUUGGGGAUACGGAUAGGGGUUAGGGUGAGGGUUACGGUUAGUUUUACAGUUAUGGUGAGUGUUCAGGGUAAGUGUUAUGGUUAUGGUUAGAGUUAGGGUUAGGGUUCGGGUGAAGUUUCAGUUAAUAGUGAGGGUUACGCUAAAAGUUAGGGUUAAUGUUAGAGUUAGGGUUAAGGUUAGCGUUAGUGUUAGGUUUAGGGUAGGUAAGGUUAGGGUUAAGACUAGGUUUACGGUAAAGGGUUGGGCUGGGUUAGGGUUAGGGUUCGGUUUAGAAUUAUACUUAGUGCUGAGUUUAGGGUUAGGGUUAGGGUCAGGAUUCGAGUUAUUGUUUGGUUUCGGUAUAGGUAGAGUUAAGGUUAGGUUUAAGUUUAGGUUUAGGGGAAGGGUUAGGUUUACGUCAGCGUUAGGUUUAGGAUUAGGGAUCGGGUUAGGGUUUGUGAAAGGGUUAGGGGUUCGUCUGAGGGUAAGUGUUAGGUUUACAGUUAAGCUGAUGUUUUAGGGUGUUAUGGUUAGGGUCAUUGUUAGGUUUAGCGUUCGGGCUAGAGUCAGGUGAUAGUUUAGGGUUAGGUUUAGGUUUAGUUUUAGGGUUAGGCUUAGGCUUAGGUUUAGGGUGAAGUUUAGGUUAAGGAUGAGGGUUAUGUUUAGGGUUAGUGUUAGGGUUAGGUGUUUGGGUUAAGGUUAGGGUCAGUUUAGGGUUCGGUUUAGAGUUCGGGUUAGCGUUAGGGUUCGGGUUAGGUGUUUGGGUUAACGUUAGGGUCAGGUUUAUGUUUGCGUUUAGGGUUAGUGUUGGGUUCGUUUUAGGGUUAGUGUUUGGGUGAAAUUUAAGUGAAGAGUGAGGGUUGAGCUUAGGGUUAGGGGUUAGGGUUAGGGUUAAGGUUCGUUUUAGGUUUAGGUUUAAGAUUAGGUUUAGGGUAAGUGUUAGGGUUAAAUCAUGGUUAGGCUAGGGCAUGGUUAAGGUUAGAGAUAGGGUGAGGUUAAGGGUUGGGGUUAGGUUUAGAUGUUAGGGUGAGGGUUAGUGCUAGGUUUCCAUUUAAGUUGAGUUUGUAGGGUAAGUUUUAGGGUUGGAUUAGGGUUAGAGUUAGAGUUAGGGUCAGGGUUAGGGUUAAGGUUCGGGUUAGGGUUAGGUUUAUGGUUAGGAUUUGGGUUACGGUCAGGGUUAGGGGGAGAUUUAGUGUUAUGUUUAGUUUCAGGGUCAGGGUUAGGGUGCAGUUUAGGUUAAGGAUGAGGGUUAGGGUUAGGUUUAGUGUUAGGGUUAGGUGUUUGGGUUAAGGUUAGGGUCAGGUUAGGGUUAGGGUUAGGGUUAGGCUUACUGUUUGUUAGGGUUAGAGUUAGGUGUUUGGGUUAAUGUUAGAGUCAGGUUUAGGGUUAGGUUUAGAGUUAGGAUUAGGAUUCGGUUUAAAGUUAGAGUUCGGGAUAGGGUGAAGUUUAAUUUAAGGGUGAGGGUUGAGCUUAGGGUUUGGGGUAGGGGUUAGGGUUCAGGUUAGGAUUAGGUUUAAGGUAAAGGUUAGGUUUAGGGUCAGGUUUAGGGUAAGUGUUAGGAUUAAGUCAUGUUUAGGUGUAGGGCUAGGAUAAGGUUAGAGAUAGGGUUAGGUUAAGGGUCGGGUUUAGGUUUAGAUGUUAGGGUGUGGGUUAGUGGUAGGUUUCCAUUUAAGCUGAGUGUGUAGGGUAAUUUUUAUGGUUAGGAUUAAGGUUAGAGUUAGGGUCAGGGUCAGGGUUAGGGUUAAGUUUAGGGUUAGUUUUAUGGUUAGGAUUGGGUUAGGUUCAUGGUUGGGGGAGAUUUAGAGUUAUGUUUAGUUUUAGGAUAGGGUUAGGGUGAAGUUGAUGUUAAGCGUGCGGGUUAGGGUUAGGGCUAGGGGUUAUUGUUCAGAUUAGUGUCAGGGGUAGGGUUAGGGAUAGGUUUAGGGUUUGUUUUAGUUUUGUUUAAGGUUAGGGUUUGAAUAAAGUUAGGGUAGGUUUAGGGUUAUGGUUAGGUCUGGGCUAAGGAUUAGGGUUAGAGUUAGGGUUAGGGGUGUUUUGGUUAGGUUUAGGGUAGGGUUUUAUUUAGGGUUAGGGUAAGAAUUAGAGUUACGUUUACACUUAAGGUGAAGGUUUUGGGUAUGUGUUAAGGUUAGGGUUAGGGUUAGAGUUAGGAUUAGGGUUUAGGGUUAGGUUUAAUUUUAUGGUAGGGUUAAAGUUAAGGUUAAGGUUAGGUUGGAGUUAGGGUAGGGUUAGGAUUAGGAUUAGGUUUAGGGUGAGGUUUAGGGUCAGAGUUAUCGUAAGGGUUAGGUGUAGGGUGACUGGUGGGCCAAGGUUAAGGUUAGUGUUAGGUUUAGGGGUAGGGUUAGGGUUAAAGUUAGGGUUAGCUUUAGGUUAGGGACAGGGUGAAGUUUAAGAUAGGGUGAGGGUUAGGGUUAUGGCUAAGGUUCGGGUUAGUUUUCGGGUUAGUGUUAAGGUUACGUUUAGGGUUAGGGUUAAGUUUAUGGGUUGUGUUUAGUUUUAGGGUUAGGGUUAGAUUUUAGGUUAGGGUUAAGUUUAGUGUAACAGUUAAGGUUACGGUUUGUGUUAGGCAUUGUGGUUGGGGUGAGGUUUAGGUUUAGGGUUAGGGUUGUGUAUGCUUAGGAUUAUGGUUAUGGUAAGGUGUUAGGGGUUAGAAGUGUAGUUUAGGGUUAGGGGUGGGUGAGGGUUCUGGUAAAGCAUUGUGGUUCUGACCAUGGUUAGGUUUGGUUUAGGGUUACGGUUAGCUUUAUGAUUAGGUUUCAGGUUAGUGUUCGAGUUAGAGUUAACGUUUGGGUUAGGCUUUGGUGUUAGGGGUUAGGGUUUGGGUUAGGGUUAGGGUUAUUGUUAGGGCUCAGGGGUUCAGGUUAGUGUUAGGGUUAGGGUUACGGAUAGCAUUAGGGUUAGGGUUGGGGAUACGGAUAGGGGUUAGGGUGAGGGUUACGGUUAGUUUUACAGUUAUGGUGAGUGUUCAGGGUAAGUGUUAUGGUUAUGGUUAGAGUUAGGGUUAGGGUUCGGGUGAAGUUUCAGUUAAUAGUGAGGGUUACGCUAAAAGUUAGGGUUAAUGUUAGAGUUAGGGUUAAGGUUAGCGUUAGUGGUAGGUUUAGGGUAGGUAAGGUUAGGGUUAAGACUAGGUUUACGGUAAAGGGUUGGGCUGGGUUAGGGUUAGGGUUCGGUUUAGAAUUAUACUUAGUGCUGAGUUUAGGGUUAGGGUUAGGGUCAGGAUUCGAGUUAUUGUUUGGUUUCGGUAUAGGUAGAGUUAAGGUUAGGUUUAAGUUUAGGUUUAGGGGAAGGGUUAGGUUUACGUCAGCGUUAGGUUUAGGAUUAGGGAUCGGGUUAGGGUUUGUGAAAGGGUUAGGGGUUCGUCUGAGGGUAAGUGUUAGGUUUACAGUUAAGCUGAUGUUUUAGGGUGUUAUGGUUAGGGUCAUUGUUAGGUUUAGCGUUCGGGCUAGAGUCAGGUGAUAGUUUAGGGUUAGGUUUAGGUUUAGUUUUAGGGUUAGGCUUAGGCUUAGGUUUAGGGUGAAGUUUAGGUUAAGGAUGAGGGUUAUGUUUAGGGUUAGUGUUAGGGUUAGGUGUUUGGGUUAAGGUUAGGGUCAGUUUAGGGUUCGGUUUAGAGUUCGGGUUAGCGUUAGGGUUCGGGUUAGGUGUUUGGGUUAACGUUAGGGUCAGGUUUAUGUUUGCGUUUAGGGUUAGUGUUGGGUUCGUUUUAGGGUUAGUGUUUGGGUGAAAUUUAAGUGAAGAGUGAGGGUUGAGCUUAGGGUUAGGGGUUAGGGUUAGGGUUAAGGUUCGUUUUAGGUUUAGGUUUAAGAUUAGGUUUAGGGUAAGUGUUAGGGUUAAAUCAUGGUUAGGCUAGGGCAUGGUUAAGGUUAGAGAUAGGGUGAGGUUAAGGGUUGGGGUUAGGUUUAGAUGUUAGGGUGAGGGUUAGUGCUAGGUUUCCAUUUAAGUUGAGUUUGUAGGGUAAGUUUUAGGGUUGGAUUAGGGUUAGAGUUAGAGUUAGGGUCAGGGUUAGGGUUAAGGUUCGGGUUAGGGUUAGGUUUAUGGUUAGGAUUUGGGUUACGGUCAGGGUUAGGGGGAGAUUUAGUGUUAUGUUUAGUUUCAGGGUCAGGGUUAGGGUGCAGUUUAGGUUAAGGAUGAGGGUUAGGGUUAGGUUUAGUGUUAGGGUUAGGUGUUUGGGUUAAGGUUAGGGUCAGGUUAGGGUUAGGGUUAGGGUUAGGCUUACUGUUUGUUAGGGUUAGGGUUAGGUGUUUGGGUUAAUGUUAGAGUCAGGUUUAGGGUUAGGUUUAGAGUUAGGAUUAGGAUUCGGUUUAAAGUUAGAGUUCGGGAUAGGGUGAAGUUUAAUUUAAGGGUGAGGGUUGAGCUUAGGGUUUGGGGUAGGGGUUAGGGUUCAGGUUAGGAUUAGGUUUAAGGUAAAGGUUAGGUUUAGGGUCAGGUUUAGGGUAAGUGUUAGGAUUAAGUCAUGUUUAGGUGUAGGGCUAGGAUAAGGUUAGAGAUAGGGUUAGGUUAAGGGUCGGGUUUAGGUUUAGAUGUUAGGGUGUGGGUUAGUGGUAGGUUUCCAUUUAAGCUGAGUGUGUAGGGUAAUUUUUAUGGUUAGGAUUAAGGUUAGAGUUAGGGUCAGGGUCAGGGUUAGGGUUAAGUUUAGGGUUAGUUUUAUGGUUAGGAUUGGGUUAGGUUCAUGGUUGGGGGAGAUUUAGAGUUAUGUUUAGUUUUAGGAUAGGGUUAGGGUGAAGUUGAUGUUAAGCGUGCGGGUUAGGGUUAGGGCUAGGGGUUAUUGUUCAGAUUAGUGUCAGGGGUAGGGUUAGGGAUAGGUUUAGGGUUUGUUUUAGUUUUGUUUAAGGUUAGGGUUUGAAUAAAGUUAGGGUAGGUUUAGGGUUAUGGUUAGGUCUGGGCUAAGGAUUAGGGUUAGAGUUAGGGUUAGGGGUGUUUUGGUUAGGUUUAGGGUAGGGUUUUAUUUAGGGUUAGGGUAAGAAUUAGAGUUACGUUUACACUUAAGGUGAAGGUUUUGGGUAUGUGUUAAGGUUAGGGUUAGGGUUAGAGUUAGGAUUAGGGUUUAGGGUUAGGUUUAAUUUUAUGGUAGGGUUAAAGUUAAGGUUAAGGUUAGGUUGGAGUUAGGGUAGGGUUAGGAUUAGGAUUAGGUUUAGGGUGAGGUUUAGGGUCAGAGUUAUCGUAAGGGUUAGGUGUAGGGUGACUGGUGGGCCAAGGUUAAGGUUAGUGUUAGGUUUAGGGGUAGGGUUAGGGUUAAAGUUAGGGUUAGCUUUAGGUUAGGGACAGGGUGAAGUUUAAGAUAGGGUGAGGGUUAGGGUUAUGGCUAAGGUUCGGGUUAGUUUUCGGGUUAGUGUUAAGGUUACGUUUAGGGUUAGGGUUAAGUUUAUGGGUUGUGUUUAGUUUUAGGGUUAGGGUUAGAUUUUAGGUUAGGGUUAAGUUUAGUGUAACAGUUAAGGUUACGGUUUGUGUUAGGCAUUGUGGUUGGGGUGAGGUUUAGGUUUAGGGUUAGGGUUGUGUAUGCUUAGGAUUAUGGUUAUGGUAAGGUGUUAGGGGUUAGAAGUGUAGUUUAGGGUUAGGGGUGGGUGAGGGUUCUGGUAAAGCAUUGUGGUUCUGACCAUGGUUAGGUUUGGUUUAGGGUUACGGUUAGCUUUAUGAUUAGGUUUCAGGUUAGUGUUCGAGUUAGAGUUAACGUUUGGGUUAGGCUUUGGUGUUAGGGGUUAGGGUUUGGGUUAGGGUUAGGGUUAUUGUUAGGGCUCAGGGGUUCAGGUUAGUGUUAGGGUUAGGGUUACGGAUAGCAUUAGGGUUAGGGUUGGGGAUACGGAUAGGGGUUAGGGUGAGGGUUACGGUUAGUUUUACAGUUAUGGUGAGUGUUCAGGGUAAGUGUUAUGGUUAUGGUUAGAGUUAGGGUUAGGGUUCGGGUGAAGUUUCAGUUAAUAGUGAGGGUUACGCUAAAAGUUAGGGUUAAUGUUAGAGUUAGGGUUAAGGUUAGCGUUAGUGUUAGGUUUAGGGUAGGUAAGGUUAGGGUUAAGACUAGGUUUACGGUAAAGGGUUGGGCUGGGUUAGGGUUAGGGUUCGGUUUAGAAUUAUACUUAGUGCUGAGUUUAGGGUUAGGGUUAGGGUCAGGAUUCGAGUUAUUGUUUGGUUUCGGUAUAGGUAGAGUUAAGGUUAGGUUUAAGUUUAGGUUUAGGGGAAGGGUUAGGUUUACGUCAGCGUUAGGUUUAGGAUUAGGGAUCGGGUUAGGGUUUGUGAAAGGGUUAGGGGUUCGUCUGAGGGUAAGUGUUAGGUUUACAGUUAAGCUGAUGUUUUAGGGUGUUAUGGUUAGGGUCAUUGUUAGGUUUAGCGUUCGGGCUAGAGUCAGGUGAUAGUUUAGGGUUAGGUUUAGGUUUAGUUUUAGGGUUAGGCUUAGGCUUAGGUUUAGGGUGAAGUUUAGGUUAAGGAUGAGGGUUAUGUUUAGGGUUAGUGUUAGGGUUAGGUGUUUGGGUUAAGGUUAGGGUCAGUUUAGGGUUCGGUUUAGAGUUCGGGUUAGCGUUAGGGUUCGGGUUAGGUGUUUGGGUUAACGUUAGGGUCAGGUUUAUGUUUGCGUUUAGGGUUAGUGUUGGGUUCGUUUUAGGGUUAGUGUUUGGGUGAAAUUUAAGUGAAGAGUGAGGGUUGAGCUUAGGGUUAGGGGUUAGGGUUAGGGUUAAGGUUCGUUUUAGGUUUAGGUUUAAGAUUAGGUUUAGGGUAAGUGUUAGGGUUAAAUCAUGGUUAGGCUAGGGCAUGGUUAAGGUUAGAGAUAGGGUGAGGUUAAGGGUUGGGGUUAGGUUUAGAUGUUAGGGUGAGGGUUAGUGCUAGGUUUCCAUUUAAGUUGAGUUUGUAGGGUAAGUUUUAGGGUUGGAUUAGGGUUAGAGUUAGAGUUAGGGUCAGGGUUAGGGUUAAGGUUCGGGUUAGGGUUAGGUUUAUGGUUAGGAUUUGGGUUACGGUCAGGGUUAGGGGGAGAUUUAGUGUUAUGUUUAGUUUCAGGGUCAGGGUUAGGGUGCAGUUUAGGUUAAGGAUGAGGGUUAGGGUUAGGUUUAGUGUUAGGGUUAGGUGUUUGGGUUAAGGUUAGGGUCAGGUUAGGGUUAGGGUUAGGGUUAGGCUUACUGUUUGUUAGGGUUAGGGUUAGGUGUUUGGGUUAAUGUUAGAGUCAGGUUUAGGGUUAGGUUUAGAGUUAGGAUUAGGAUUCGGUUUAAAGUUAGAGUUCGGGAUAGGGUGAAGUUUAAUUUAAGGGUGAGGGUUGAGCUUAGGGUUUGGGGUAGGGGUUAGGGUUCAGGUUAGGAUUAGGUUUAAGGUAAAGGUUAGGUUUAGGGUCAGGUUUAGGGUAAGUGUUAGGAUUAAGUCAUGUUUAGGUGUAGGGCUAGGAUAAGGUUAGAGAUAGGGUUAGGUUAAGGGUUGGGUUUAGGUUUAGAUGUUAGGGUGUGGGUUAGUGGUAGGUUUCCAUUUAAGCUGAGUGUGUAGGGUAAUUUUUAUGGUUAGGAUUAAGGUUAGAGUUAGGGUCAGGGUCAGGGUUAGGGUUAAGUUUAGGGUUAGUUUUAUGGUUAGGAUUGGGUUAGGUUCAUGGUUGGGGGAGAUUUAGUGUUAUGUUUAGUUUUAGGAUAGGGUUAGGGUGAAGUUGAUGAUAAGCGUGCGGGUUAGGGUUAGGGCUAGGGGUUAUUGUUCAGAUUAGUGUCAGGGGUAGGGUUAGGGAUAGGUUUAGGGUUUGUUUUAGUUUUGUUUAAGGUUAGGGUUUGAAUAAAGUUAGGGUAGGUUUAGGGUUAUGGUUAGGUCUGGGCUAAGGAUUAGGGUUAGAGUUAGGGUUAGGGGUGUUUUGGUUAGGUUUAGGGUAGGGUUUUAUUUAGGGUUAGGGUAAGAAUUAGAGUUACGUUUACACUUAAGGUGAAGGUUUUGGGUAUGUGUUACGGUUAGGGUUAGGGUUAGAGUUAGGAUUAGGGUUUAGGGUUAGGUUUAAUUUUAUGGUAGGGUUAAAGUUAAGGUUAAGGUUAGGUUGGAGUUAGGGUAGGGUUAGGAUUAGGAUUAGGUUUAGGGGGAGGUUUAGGGUCAGAGUUAUCGUAAGGGUUAGGUGUAGGGUGACUGGUGGGCCAAGGUUAAGGUUAGUGUUAGGUUUAGGGGUAGGGUUAGGGUUAAAGUUAGGGUUAGCUUUAGGUUAGGGAUAGGGUGAAGUUUAAGAUAGGGUGAGGGUUAGGGUUAUGGCUAAGGUUCGGGUUAGUUUUCGGGUUAGUGUUAAGGUUACGUUUAGGGUUAGGGUUAAGUUGAUGGGUUGUGUUUAGUUUUAGGGUUAGGGUUAGAUUUUAGGUUAGGGUUAAGUUUAGUGUAACAGUUAAGGUUACGGUUUGUGUUAGGCAUUGUGGUUGGGGUGAGGUUUAGGUUUAGGGUUAGGGUUGUGUAUGCUUAGGAUUAUGGUUAUGGUAAGGUGUUAGGGGUUAGAAGUGUAGUUUAGGGUUAGGGGUGGGUGAGGGUUCUGGUAAAGCAUUGUGGUUCUGACCAUGGUUAGGUUUGGUUUAGGGUUACGGUUAGCUUUAUGAUUAGGUUUCAGGUUAGUGUUCGAGUUAGAGUUAACGUUUGGGUUAGGCUUUGGUGUUAGGGGUUAGGGUUUGGGUUAGGGUUAGGGUUAUUGUUAGGGCUCAGGGGUUCAGGUUAGUGUUAGGGUUAGGGUUACGGAUAGCAUUAGGGUUAGGGUUGGGGAUACGGUUAGGGGUUAGGGUGAGGGUUACGGUUAGUUUUACAGUUAUGGUGAGUGUUCAGGGUAAGUGUUAUGGUUAUGGUUAGAGUUAGGGUUAGGGUUCGGGUGAAGUUUCAGUUAAUAGUGAGGGUUACGCUAAAAGUUAGGGUUAAUGUUAGAGUUAGGGUUAAGGUUAGCGUUAGUGUUAGGUUUAGGGUAGGUAAGGUUAGGGUUAAGACUAGGUUUACGGUAAAGGGUUGGGCUGGGUUAGGGUUAGGGUUAGGUUUAGAAUUGUACUUAGUGCUGAGUUUAGGGUUAGGGUUAGGGUCAGGAUUCGAGUUAUUGUUUGGUUUAGGUAUAGGUAGAGUUAAGGUUAGGUUUAAGUUUAGGUUUAGGGGAAGGGUUAGGUUUACGUCAGCGUUAGGUUUAGGAUUAGGGAUCGGGUUAGGGUUUGUGAAAGGGUUAGGGGUUCGUCUGAGGGUAAGUGUUAGGUUUACAGUUAAGCUGAUGUUUUAGGGUGUUAUGGUUAGGGUCAUUGUUAGGUUUAGCGUUCGGGCUAGAGUCAGGUGAUAGUUUAGGGUUAGGUUUAGGUUUAGUUUUAGGGUUAGGCUUAGGCUUAGGUUUAGGGUGAAGUUUAGGUUAAGGAUGAGGGUUAUGUUUAGGGUUAGUGUUAGGGUUAGGUGUUUGGGUUAAGGUUAGGGUCAGUUUAGGGUUCGGUUUAGAGUUCGGGUUAGCGUUAGGGUUCGGGUUAGGUGUUUGGGUUAACGUUAGGGUCAGGUUUAUGUUUGCGUUUAGGGUUAGUGUUGGGUUCGUUUUAGGGUUAGUGUUUGGGUGAAAUUUAAGUGAAGAGUGAGGGUUGAGCUUAGGGUUAGGGGUUAGGGUUAGGGUUAAGGUUCGUUUUAGGUUUAGGUUUAAGAUUAGGUUUAGGGUAAGUGUUAGGGUUAAAUCAUGGUUAGGCUAGGGCAUGGUUAAGGUUAGAGAUAGGGUGAGGUUAAGGGUUGGGGUUAGGUUUAGAUGUUAGGGUGAGGGUUAGUGCUAGGUUUCCAUUUAAGUUGAGUUUGUAGGGUAAGUUUUAGGGUUGGAUUAGGGUUAGAGUUAGAGUUAGGGUCAGGGUUAGGGUUAAGGUUCGGGUUAGGGUUAGGUUUAUGGUUAGGAUUUGGGUUACGGUCAGGGUUAGGGGGAGAUUUAGUGUUAUGUUUAGUUUCAGGGUCAGGGUUAGGGUGCAGUUUAGGUUAAGGAUGAGGGUUAGGGUUAGGUUUAGUGUUAGGGUUAGGUGUUUGGGUUAAGGUUAGGGUCAGGUUAGGGUUAGGGUUAGGGUUAGGCUUACUGUUUGUUAGGGUUAGGGUUAGGUGUUUGGGUUAAUGUUAGAGUCAGGUUUAGGGUUAGGUUUAGAGUUAGGAUUAGGAUUCGGUUUAAAGUUAGAGUUCGGGAUAGGGUGAAGUUUAAUUUAAGGGUGAGGGUUGAGCUUAGGGUUUGGGGUAGGGGUUAGGGUUCAGGUUAGGAUUAGGUUUAAGGUAAAGGUUAGGUUUAGGGUCAGGUUUAGGGUAAGUGUUAGGAUUAAGUCAUGUUUAGGUGUAGGGCUAGGAUAAGGUUAGAGAUAGGGUUAGGUUAAGGGUUGGGUUUAGGUUUAGAUGUUAGGGUGUGGGUUAGUGGUAGGUUUCCAUUUAAGCUGAGUGUGUAGGGUAAUUUUUAUGGUUAGGAUUAAGGUUAGAGUUAGGGUCAGGGUCAGGGUUAGGGUUAAGUUUAGGGUUAGUUUUAUGGUUAGGAUUGGGUUAGGUUCAUGGUUGGGGGAGAUUUAGUGUUAUGUUUAGUUUUAGGAUAGGGUUAGGGUGAAGUUGAUGUUAAGCGUGCGGGUUAGGGUUAGGGCUAGGGGUUAUUGUUCAGAUUAGUGUCAGGGGUAGGGUUAGGGAUAGGUUUAGGGUUUGUUUUAGUUUUGUUUAAGGUUAGGGUUUGAAUAAAGUUAGGGUAGGUUUAGGGUUAUGGUUAGGUCUGGGCUAAGGAUUAGGGUUAGAGUUAGGGUUAGGGGUGUUUUGGUUAGGUUUAGGGUAGGGUUUUAUUUAGGGCUAGGGUAAGAAUUAGAGUUACGUUUACACUUAAGGUGAAGGUUUUGGGUAUGUGUUACGGUUAGGGUUAGGGUUAGAGUUAGGAUUAGGGUUUAGGGUUAGGUUUAAUUUUAUGGUAGGGUUAAAGUUAAGGUUAAGGUUAGGUUGGAGUUAGGGUAGGGUUAGGAUUAGGAUUAGGUUUAGGGGGAGGUUUAGGGUCAGAGUUAUCGUAAGGGUUAGGUGUAGGGUGACUGGUGGGCCAAGGUUAAGGUUAGUGUUAGGUUUAGGGGUAGGGUUAGGGUUAAAGUUAGGGUUAGCUUUAGGUUAGGGAUAGGGUGAAGUUUAAGAUAGGGUGAGGGUUAGGGUUAUGGCUAAGGUUCGGGUUAGUUUUCGGGUUAGUGUUAAGGUUACGUUUAGGGUUAGGGUUAAGUUGAUGGGUUGUGUUUAGUUUUAGGGUUAGGGUUAGAUUUUAGGUUAGGGUUAAGUUUAGUGUAACAGUUAAGGUUACGGUUUGUGUUAGGCAUUGUGGUUGGGGUGAGGUUUAGGUUUAGGGUUAGGGUUGUGUAUGCUUAGGAUUAUGGUUAUGGUAAGGUGUUAGGGGUUAGAAGUGUAGUUUAGGGUUAGGGGUGGGUGAGGGUUCUGGUAAAGCAUUGUGGUUCUGACCAUGGUUAGGUUUGGUUUAGGGUUACGGUUAGCUUUAUGAUUAGGUUUCAGGUUAGUGUUCGAGUUAGAGUUAACGUUUGGGUUAGGCUUUGGUGUUAGGGGUUAGGGUUUGGGUUAGGGUUAGGGUUAUUGUUAGGGCUCAGGGGUUCAGGUUAGUGUUAGGGUUAGGGUUACGGAUAGCAUUAGGGUUAGGGUUGGGGAUACGGAUAGGGGUUAGGGUGAGGGUUACGGUUAGUUUUACAGUUAUGGUGAGUGUUCAGGGUAAGUGUUAUGGUUAUGGUUAGAGUUAGGGUUAGGGUUCGGGUGAAGUUUCAGUUAAUAGUGAGGGUUACGCUAAAAGUUAGGGUUAAUGUUAGAGUUAGGGUUAAGGUUAGCGUUAGUGUUAGGUUUAGGGUAGGUAAGGUUAGGGUUAAGACUAGGUUUACGGUAAAGGGUUGGGCUGGGUUAGGGUUAGGUUUAGAAUUAUACUUAGUGCUGAGUUUAGGGUUAGGGUUAGGGUCAGGAUUCGAGUUAUUGUUUGGUUUAGGUAUAGGUAGAGUUAAGGUUAGGUUUAAGUUUAGGUUUAGGGGAAGGGUUAGGUUUACGUCAGCGUUAGGUUUAGGAUUAGGGAUCGGGUUAGGGUUUGUGAAAGGGUUAGGGGUUCGUCUGAGGGUAAGUGUUAGGUUUACAGUUAAGCUGAUGUUUUAGGGUGUUAUGGUUAGGGUCAUUGUUAGGUUUAGCGUUCGGGCUAGAGUCAGGUGAUAGUUUAGGGUUAGGUUUAGGUUUAGUUUUAGGGUUAGGCUUAGGCUUAGGUUUAGGGUGAAGUUUAGGUUAAGGAUGAGGGUUAUGUUUAGGGUUAGUGUUAGGGUUAGGUGUUUGGGUUAAGGUUAGGGUCAGUUUAGGGUUCGGUUUAGAGUUCGGGUUAGCGUUAGGGUUCGGGUUAGGUGUUUGGGUUAACGUUAGGGUCAGGUUUAUGUUUGCGUUUAGGGUUAGUGUUGGGUUCGUUUUAGGGUUAGUGUUUGGGUGAAAUUUAAGUGAAGAGUGAGGGUUGAGCUUAGGGUUAGGGGUUAGGGUUAGGGUUAAGGUUCGUUUUAGGUUUAGGUUUAAGAUUAGGUUUAGGGUAAGUGUUAGGGUUAAAUCAUGGUUAGGCUAGGGCAUGGUUAAGGUUAGAGAUAGGGUGAGGUUAAGGGUUGGGGUUAGGUUUAGAUGUUAGGGUGAGGGUUAGUGCUAGGUUUCCAUUUAAGUUGAGUUUGUAGGGUAAGUUUUAGGGUUGGAUUAGGGUUAGAGUUAGAGUUAGGGUCAGGGUUAGGGUUAAGGUUCGGGUUAGGGUUAGGUUUAUGGUUAGGAUUUGGGUUACGGUCAGGGUUAGGGGGAGAUUUAGUGUUAUGUUUAGUUUCAGGGUCAGGGUUAGGGUGCAGUUUAGGUUAAGGAUGAGGGUUAGGGUUAGGUUUAGUGUUAGGGUUAGGUGUUUGGGUUAAGGUUAGGGUCAGGUUAGGGUUAGGGUUAGGGUUAGGCUUACUGUUUGUUAGGGUUAGGGUUAGGUGUUUGGGUUAAUGUUAGAGUCAGGUUUAGGGUUAGGUUUAGAGUUAGGAUUAGGAUUCGGUUUAAAGUUAGAGUUCGGGAUAGGGUGAAGUUUAAUUUAAGGGUGAGGGUUGAGCUUAGGGUUUGGGGUAGGGGUUAGGGUUCAGGUUAGGAUUAGGUUUAAGGUAAAAGUUAGGUUUAGGGUCAGGUUUAGGGUAAGUGUUAGGAUUAAGUCAUGUUUAGGUGUAGGGCUAGGAUAAGGUUAGAGAUAGGGUUAGGUUAAGGGUUGGGUUUAGGUUUAGAUGUUAGGGUGUGGGUUAGUGGUAGGUUUCCAUUUAAGCUGAGUGUGUAGGGUAAUUUUUAUGGUUAGGAUUAAGGUUAGAGUUAGGGUCAGGGUCAGGGUUAGGGUUAAGUUUAGGGUUAGUUUUAUGGUUAGGAUUGGGUUAGGUUCAUGGUUGGGGGAGAUUUAGUGUUAUGUUUAGUUUUAGGAUAGGGUUAGGGUGAAGUUGAUGUUAAGCGUGCGGGUUAGGGUUAGGGCUAGGGGUUAUUGUUCAGAUUAGUGUCAGGGGUAGGGUUAGGGAUAGGUUUAGGGUUUGUUUUAGUUUUGUUUAAGGUUAGGGUUUGAAUAAAGUUAGGGUAGGUUUAGGGUUAUGGUUAGGUCUGGGCUAAGGAUUAGGGUUAGAGUUAGGGUUAGGGGUGUUUUGGUUAGGUUUAGGGUAGGGUUUUAUUUAGGGCUAGGGUAAGAAUUAGAGUUACGUUUACACUUAAGGUGAAGGUUUUGGGUAUGUGUUACGGUUAGGGUUAGGGUUAGAGUUAGGAUUAGGGUUUAGGGUUAGGUUUAAUUUUAUGGUAGGGUUAAAGUUAAGGUUAAGGUUAGGUUGGAGUUAGGGUAGGGUUAGGAUUAGGAUUAGGUUUAGGGGGAGGUUUAGGGUCAGAGUGAUCGUAAGGGUUAGGUGUAGGGUGACUGGUGGGCCAAGGUUAAGGUUAGUGUUAGGUUUAGGGGUAGGGUUAGGGUUAAAGUUAGGGUUAGCUUUAGGUUAGGGAUAGGGUGAAGUUUAAGAUAGGGUGAGGGUUAGGGUUAUGGCUAAGGUUCGGGUUAGUUUUCGGGUUAGUGUUAAGGUUACGUUUAGGGUUAGGGUUAAGUUGAUGGGUUGUGUUUAGUUUUAGGGUUAGGGUUAGAUUUUAGGUUAGGGUUAAGUUUAGUGUAACAGUUAAGGUUACGGUUUGUGUUAGGCAUUGUGGUUGGGGUGAGGUUUAGGUUUAGGGUUAGGGUUGUGUAUGCUUAGGAUUAUGGUUAUGGUAAGGUGUUAGGGGUUAGAAGUGUAGUUUAGGGUUAGGGGUGGGUGAGGGUUCUGGUAAAGCAUUGUGGUUCUGACCAUGGUUAGGUUUGGUUUAGGGUUACGGUUAGCUUUAUGAUUAGGUUUCAGGUUAGUGUUCGAGUUAGAGUUAACGUUUGGGUUAGGCUUUGGUGUUAGGGGUUAGGGUUUGGGUUAGGGUUAGGGUUAUUGUUAGGGCUCAGGGGUUCAGGUUAGUGUUAGGGUUAGGGUUACGGAUAGCAAUAGGGUUAGGGUUGGGGAUACGGAUAGGGGUUAGGGUGAGGGUUACGGUUAGUUUUACAGUUAUGGUGAGUGUUCAGGGUAAGUGUUAUGGUUAUGGUUAGAGUUAGGGUUAGGGUUCGGGUGAAGUUUCAGUUAAUAGUGAGGGUUACGCUAAAAGUUAGGGUUAAUGUUAGAGUUAGGGUUAAGGUUAGCGUUAGUGUUAGGUUUAGGGUAGGUAAGGUUAGGGUUAAGACUAGGUUUACGGUAAAGGGUUGGGCUGGGUUAGGGUUAGGGUUAGGUUUAGAAUUAUACUUAGUGCUGAGUUUAGGGUUAGGGUUAGGGUCAGGAUUCGAGUUAUUGUUUGGUUUAGGUAUAGGUAGAGUUAAGGUUAGGUUUAAGUUUAGGUUUAGGGGAAGGGUUAGGUUUACGUCAGCGUUAGGUUUAGGAUUAGGGAUCGGGUUAGGGUUUGUGAAAGGGUUAGGGGUUCGUCUGAGGGUAAGUGUUAGGUUUACAGUUAAGCUGAUGUUUUAGGGUGUUAUGGUUAGGGUCAUUGUUAGGUUUAGCGUUCGGGCUAGAGUCAGGUGAUAGUUUAGGGUUAGGUUUAGGUUUAGUUUUAGGGUUAGGCUUAGGCUUAGUUUUAGGGUGAAGUUUAGGUUAAGGAUGAGGGUUAUGUUUAGGGUUAGUGUUAGGGUUAGGUGUUUGGGUUAAGGUUAGGGUCAGUUUAGGGUUCGGUUUAGAGUUCGGGUUAGCGUUAGGGUUCGGGUUAGGUGUUUGGGUUAACGUUAGGGUCAGGUUUAUGUUUGCGUUUAGGGUUAGUGUUGGGUUCGUUUUAGGGUUAGUGUUUGGGUGAAAUUUAAGUGAAGAGUGAGGGUUGAGCUUAGGGUUAGGGGUUAGGGUUAGGGUUAAGGCUCGUUUUAGGUUUAGGUUUAAGAUUAGGUUUAGGGUUAGGUUUAGGGUUAAAUCAUGGUUAGGCUAGGGCAUGGUUAAGGUUAGAGAUAGGGUGAGGUUAAGGGUUGGGGUUAGGUUUAGAUGUUAGGGUGAGGGUUAGUGCUAGGUUUCCAUUUAAGUUGAGUUUGUAGGGUAAGUUUUAGGGUUGGAUUAGGGUUAGAGUUAGAGUUAGAGUCAGGGUUAGGGUUAAGGUUCGGGUUAGGGUUAGGUUUAUGGUUAGGAUUUGGGUUACGGUCAGGGUUAGGGGGAGAUUUAGUGUUAUGUUUAGUUUCAGGGUCAGGGUUAGGGUGCAGUUUAGGUUAAGGAUGAGGGUUAGGGUUAGGUUUAGUGUUAGGGUUAGGUGUUUGGGUUAAGGUUAGGGUCAGGUUAGGGUUAGGGUUAGGGUUAGGCUUACUGUUAGGGUUAGGGUUAGGUGUUUGGGUUAAUGUUAGAGUCAGGUUUAGGGUUAGGUUUAGAGUUAGGAUUAGGAUUCGGUUUAAAGUUAGAGUUCGGGAUAGGGUGAAGUUUAAUUUAAGGGUGAGGGUUGAGCUUAGGGUUUGGGGUAGGGGUUAGGGUUCAGGUUAGGAUUAGGUUUAAGGUAAAGGUUAGGUUUAGGGUCAGGUUUAGGGUAAGUGUUAGGAUUAAGUCAUGUUUAGGUGUAGGGCUAGGAUAAGGUUAGAGAUAGGGUUAGGUUAAGGGUUGGGUUUAGGUUUAGAUGUUAGGGUGUGGGUUAGUGGUAGGUUUCCAUUUAAGCUGAGUGUGUAGGGUAAUUUUUAUGGUUAGGAUUAAGGUUAGAGUUAGGGUCAGGGUCAGGGUUAGGGUUAAGUUUAGGGUUAGUUUUAUGGUUAGGAUUGGGUUAGGUUCAUGGUUGGGGGAGAUUUAGUGUUAUGUUUAGUUUUAGGAUAGGGUUGGGGUGAAGUUGAUGUUAAGCGUGCGGGUUAGGGUUAGGGCUAGGGGUUAUUGUUCAGAUUAGUGUCAGGGGUAGGGUUAGGGAUAGGUUUAGGGUUUGUUUUAGUUUUGUUUAAGGUUAGGGUUUGAAUAAAGUUAGGGUAGGUUUAGGGUUAUGGUUAGGUCUGGGCUAAGGAUUAGGGUUAGAGUUAGGGUUAGGGGUGUUUUGGUUAGGUUUAGGGUAGGGUUUUAUUUAGGGUUAGGGUAAGAAUUAGAGUUACGUUUACACUUAAGGUGAAGGUUUUGGGUAUGUGUUACGGUUAGGGUUAGGGUUAGAGUUAGGAUUAGGGUUUAGGGUUAGGUUUAAUUUUAUGGUAGGGUUAAAGUUAAGGUUAAGGUUAGGUUGGAGUUAGGGUAGGGUUAGGAUUAGGAUUAGGUUUAGGGGGAGGUUUAGGGUCAGAGUUAUCGUAAGGGUUAGGUGUAGGGUGACUGGUGGGCCAAGGUUAAGGUUAGUGUUAGGUUUAGGGGUAGGGUUAGGGUUAAAGUUAGGGUUAGCUUUAGGUUAGGGAUAGGGUGAAGUUUAAGAUAGGGUGAGGGUUAGGGUUAUGGCUAAGGUUCGGGUUAGUUUUCGGGUUAGUGUUAAGGUUACGUUUAGGGUUAGGGUUAAGUUUAUGGGUUGUGUUUAGUUUUAGGGUUAGGGUUAGAUUUUAGGUUAGGGUUAAGUUUAGUGUAACAGUUAAGGUUACGGUUUGUGUUAGGCAUUGUGGUUGGGGUGAGGUUUAGGUUUAGGGUUAGGGUUGUGUAUGCUUAGGAUUAUGGUUAUGGUAAGGUGUUAGGGGUUAGAAGUGUAGUUUAGGGUUAGGGGUGGGUGAGGGUUCUGGUAAAGCAUUGUGGUUCUGACCAUGGUUAGGUUUGGUUUAGGGUUACGGUUAGCUUUAUGAUUAGGUUUCAGGUUAGUGUUCGAGUUAGAGUUAACGUUUGGGUUAGGCUUUGGUGUUAGGGGUUAGGGUUUGGGUUAGGGUUAGGGUUAUUGUUAGGGCUCAGGGGUUCAGGUUAGUGUUAGGGUUAGGGUUACGGAUAGCAUUAGGGUUAGGGUUGGGGAUACGGAUAGGGGUUAGGGUGAGGGUUACGGUUAGUUUUACAGUUAUGGUGAGUGUUCAGGGUAAGUGUUAUGGUUAUGGUUAGAGUUAGGGUUAGGGUUCGGGUGAAGUUUCAGUUAAUAGUGAGGGUUACGCUAAAAGUUAGGGUUAAUGUUAGAGUUAGGGUUAAGGUUAGCGUUAGUGUUAGGUUUAGGGUAGGUAAGGUUAGGGUUAAGACUAGGUUUACGGUAAAGGGUUGGGCUGGGUUAGGGUUAGGGUUAGGUUUAGAAUUAUACUUAGUGCUGAGUUUAGGGUUAGGGUUAGGGUCAGGAUUCGAGUUAUUGUUUGGUUUAGGUAUAGGUAGAGUUAAGGUUAGGUUUAAGUUUAGGUUUAGGGGAAGGGUUAGGUUUACGUCAGCGUUAGGUUUAGGAUUAGGGAUCGGGUUAGGGUUUGUGAAAGGGUUAGGGGUUCGUCUGAGGGUAAGUGUUAGGUUUACAGUUAAGCUGAUGUUUUAGGGUGUUAUGGUUAGGGUCAUUGUUAGGUUUAGCGUUCGGGCUAGAGUCAGGUGAUAGUUUAGCGUUAGGUUUAGGUUUAGUUUUAGGGUUAGGCUUAGGCUUAGGUUUAGGGUGAAAUUUAGGUUAAGGAUGAGGGUUAUGUUUAGGGUUAGUGUUAGGGUUAGGUGUUUGGGUUAAGGUUAGGGUCAGUUUAGGGUUCGGUUUAGAGUUCGGGUUAGCGUUAGGGUUCGGGUUAGGUGUUUGGGUUAACGUUAGGGUCAGGUUUAUGUUUGCGUUUAGGGUUAGUGUUGGGUUCGUUUUAGGGUUAGUGUUUGGGUGAAAUUUAAGUGAAGAGUGAGGGUUGAGCUUAGGGUUAGGGGUUAGGGUUAGGGUUAAGGUUCGUUUUAGGUUUAGGUUUAAGAUUAGGUUUAGGGUUAGGUUUAGGGUUAAAUCAUGGUUAGGCUAGGGCAUGGUUAAGGUUAGAGAUAGGGUGAGGUUAAGGGUUGGGUUUAGGUUUAGAUGUUAGGGUGUGGGUUAGUGGUAGGUUUCCAUUUAAGCUGAGUGUGUAGGGUAAUUUUUAUGGUUAGGAUUAAGGUUAGAGUUAGGGUCAGGGUCAGGGUUAGGGUUAAGUUUAGGGUGAGUUUUAUGGUUAGGAUUGGGUUAGGUUCAUGGUUGGGGGAGAUUUAGUGUUAUGUUUAGUUUUAGGAUAGGGUUAGGGUGAAGUUGAUGUUAAGCGUGCGGGUUAGGGUUAGGGCUAGGGGUUAUUGUUCAGAUUAGUGUCAGGGGUAGGGUUAGGGAUAGGUUUAGGGUUUGUUUUAGUUUUGUUUAAGGUUAGGGUUUGAAUAAAGUUAGGGUAGGUUUAGGGUUAUGGUUAGGUCUGGGCUAAGGAUUAGGGUUAGAGUUAGGGUUAGGGGUGUUUUGGUUAGGUUUAGGGUAGGGUUUUAUUUAGGGUUAGGGUAAGAAUUAGAGUUACGUUUACACUUAAGGUGAAGGUUUUGGGUAUGUGUUAAGGUUAGGGUUAGGGUUAGAGUUAGGAUUAGGGUUUAGGGUUAGGUUUAAUUUUAUGGUAGGGUUAAAGUUAAGGUUAAGGUUAGGUUGGAGUUAGGGUAGGGUUAGGAUUAGGAUUAGGUUUAGGGGGAGGUUUAGGGUCAGAGUGAUCGUAAGGGUUAGGUGUAGGGUGACUGGUGGGCCAAGGUUAAGGUUAGUGUUAGGUUUAGGGGUAGGGUUAGGGUUAAAGUUAGGGUUAGCUUUAGGUUAGGGAUAGGGUGAAGUUUAAGAUAGGGUGAGGGUUAGGGUUAUGGCUAAGGUUCGGGUUAGUUUUCGGGUUAGUGUUAAGGUUACGUUUAGGGUUAGGGUUAAGUUUAUGGGUUGUGUUUAGUUUUAGGGUUAGGGUUAGAUUUUAGGUUAGGGUUAAGUUUAGUGUAACAGUUAAGGUUACGGUUUGUGUUAGGCAUUGUGGUUGGGGUGAGGUUUAGGUUUAGGGUUAGGGUUGUGUAUGCUUAGGAUUAUGGUUAUGGUAAGGUGUUAGGGGUUAGAAGUGUAGUUUAGGGUUAGGGGUGGGUGAGGGUUCUGGUAAAGCAUUGUGGUUCUGACCAUGGUUAGGUUUGGUUUAGGGUUACGGUUAGCUUUAUGAUUAGGUUUCAGGUUAGUGUUCGAGUUAGAGUUAACGUUUGGGUUAGGCUUUGGUGUUAGGGGUUAGGGUUUGGGUUAGGGUUAGGGUUAUUGUUAGGGCUCAGGGGUUCAGGUUAGUGUUAGGGUUAGGGUUACGGAUAGCAUUAGGGUUAGGGUUGGGGAUACGGUUAGGGGUUAGGGUGAGGGUUACGGUUAGUUUUACAGUUAUGGUGAGUGUUCAGGGUAAGUGUUAUGGUUAUGGUUAGAGUUAGGGUUAGGGUUCGGGUGAAGUUUCAGUUAAUAGUGAGGGUUACGCUAAAAGUUAGGGUUAAUGUUAGAGUUAGGGUUAAGGUUAGCGUUAGUGUUAGGUUUAGGGUAGGUAAGGUUAGGGUUAAGACUAGGUUUACGGUAAAGGGUUGGGCUGGGUUAGGGUUAGGGUUAGGUUUAGAAUUAUACUUAGUGCUGAGUUUAGGGUUAGGGUUAGGGUCAGGAUUCGAGUUAUUGUUUGGUUUAGGUAUAGGUAGAGUUAAGGUUAGGUUUAAGUUUAGGUUUAGGGGAAGGGUUAGGUUUACGUCAGCGUUAGGUUUAGGAUUAGGGAUCGGGUUAGGGUUUGUGAAAGGGUUAGGGGUUCGUCUGAGGGUAAGUGUUAGGUUUACAGUUAAGCUGAUGUUUUAGGGUGUUAUGGUUAGGGUCAUUGUUAGGUUUAGCGUUCGGGCUAGAGUCAGGUGAUAGUUUAGCGUUAGGUUUAGGUUUAGUUUUAGGGUUAGGCUUAGGCUUAGGUUUAGGGUGAAAUUUAGGUUAAGGAUGAGGGUUAUGUUUAGGGUUAGUGUUAGGGUUAGGUGUUUGGGUUAAGGUUAGGGUCAGUUUAGGGUUCGGUUUAGAGUUCGGGUUAGCGUUAGGGUUCGGGUUAGGUGUUUGGGUUAACGUUAGGGUCAGGUUUAUGUUUGCGUUUAGGGUUAGUGUUGGGUUCGUUUUAGGGUUAGUGUUUGGGUGAAAUUUAAGUGAAGAGUGAGGGUUGAGCUUAGGGUUAGGGGUUAGGGUUAGGGUUAAGGUUCGUUUUAGGUUUAGGUUUAAGAUUAGGUUUAGGGUUAGGUUUAGGGUUAAAUCAUGGUUAGGCUAGGGCAUGGUUAAGGUUAGAGAUAGGGUGAGGUUAAGGGUUGGGUUUAGGUUUAGAUGUUAGGGUGUGGGUUAGUGGUAGGUUUCCAUUUAAGCUGAGUGUGUAGGGUAAUUUUUAUGGUUAGGAUUAAGGUUAGAGUUAGGGUCAGGGUCAGGGUUAGGGUUAAGUUUAGGGUGAGUUUUAUGGUUAGGAUUGGGUUAGGUUCAUGGUUGGGGGAGAUUUAGUGUUAUGUUUAGUUUUAGGAUAGGGUUAGGGUGAAGUUGAUGUUAAGCGUGCGGGUUAGGGUUAGGGCUAGGGGUUAUUGUUCAGAUUAGUGUCAGGGGUAGGGUUAGGGAUAGGUUUAGGGUUUGUUUUAGUUUUGUUUAAGGUUAGGGUUUGAAUAAAGUUAGGGUAGGUUUAGGGUUAUGGUUAGGUCUGGGCUAAGGAUUAGGGUUAGAGUUAGGGUUAGGGGUGUUUUGGUUAGGUUUAGGGUAGGGUUUUAUUUAGGGUUAGGGUAAGAAUUAGAGUUACGUUUACACUUAAGGUGAAGGUUUUGGGUAUGUGUUACGGUUAGGGUUAGGGUUAGAGUUAGGAUUAGGGUUUAGGGUUAGGUUUAAUUUUAUGGUAGGGUUAAAGUUAAGGUUAAGGUUAGGUUGGAGUUAGGGUAGGGUUAGGAUUAGGAUUAGGUUUAGGGGGAGGUUUAGGGUCAGAGUGAUCGUAAGGGUUAGGUGUAGGGUGACUGGUGGGCCAAGGUUAAGGUUAGUGUUAGGUUUAGGGGUAGGGUUAGGGUUAAAGUUAGGGUUAGCUUUAGGUUAGGGAUAGGGUGAAGUUUAAGAUAGGGUGAGGGUUAGGGUUAUGGCUAAGGUUCGGGUUAGUUUUCGGGUUAGUGUUAAGGUUACGUUUAGGGUUAGGGUUAAGUUUAUGGGUUGUGUUUAGUUUUAGGGUUAGGGUUAGAUUUUAGGUUAGGGUUAAGUUUAGUGUAACAGUUAAGGUUACGGUUUGUGUUAGGCAUUGUGGUUGGGGUGAGGUUUAGGUUUAGGGUUAGGGUUGUGUAUGCUUAGGAUUAUGGUUAUGGUAAGGUGUUAGGGGUUAGAAGUGUAGUUUAGGGUUAGGGGUGGGUGAGGGUUCUGGUAAAGCAUUGUGGUUCUGACCAUGGUUAGGUUUGGUUUAGGGUUACGGUUAGCUUUAUGAUUAGGUUUCAGGUUAGUGUUCGAGUUAGAGUUAACGUUUGGGUUAGGCUUUGGUGUUAGGGGUUAGGGUUUGGGUUAGGGUUAGGGUUAUUGUUAGGGCUCAGGGGUUCAGGUUAGUGUUAGGGUUAGGGUUACGGAUAGCAUUAGGGUUAGGGUUGGGGAUACGGUUAGGGGUUAGGGUGAGGGUUACGGUUAGUUUUACAGUUAUGGUGAGUGUUCAGGGUAAGUGUUAUGGUUAUGGUUAGAGUUAGGGUUAGGGUUCGGGUGAAGUUUCAGUUAAUAGUGAGGGUUACGCUAAAAGUUAGGGUUAAUGUUAGAGUUAGGGUUAAGGUUAGCGUUAGUGUUAGGUUUAGGGUAGGUAAGGUUAGGGUUAAGACUAGGUUUACGGUAAAGGGUUGGGCUGGGUUAGGGUUAGGGUUAGGUUUAGAAUUAUACUUAGUGCUGAGUUUAGGGUUAGGGUUAGGGUCAGGAUUCGAGUUAUUGUUUGGUUUAGGUAUAGGUAGAGUUAAGGUUAGGUUUAAGUUUAGGUUUAGGGGAAGGGUUAGGUUUACGUCAGCGUUAGGUUUAGGAUUAGGGAUCGGGUUAGGGUUUGUGAAAGGGUUAGGGGUUCGUCUGAGGGUAAGUGUUAGGUUUACAGUUAAGCUGAUGUUUUAGGGUGUUAUGGUUAGGGUCAUUGUUAGGUUUAGCGUUCGGGCUAGAGUCAGGUGAUAGUUUAGCGUUAGGUUUAGGUUUAGUUUUAGGGUUAGGCUUAGGCUUAGGUUUAGGGUGAAAUUUAGGUUAAGGAUGAGGGUUAUGUUUAGGGUUAGUGUUAGGGUUAGGUGUUUGGGUUAAGGUUAGGGUCAGUUUAGGGUUCGGUUUAGAGUUCGGGUUAGCGUUAGGGUUCGGGUUAGGUGUUUGGGUUAACGUUAGGGUCAGGUUUAUGUUUGCGUUUAGGGUUAGUGUUGGGUUCGUUUUAGGGUUAGUGUUUGGGUGAAAUUUAAGUGAAGAGUGAGGGUUGAGCUUAGGGUUAGGGGUUAGGGUUAGGGUUAAGGUUCGUUUUAGGUUUAGGUUUAAGAUUAGGUUUAGGGUUAGGUUUAGGGUUAAAUCAUGGUUAGGCUAGGGCAUGGUUAAGGUUAGAGAUAGGGUGAGGUUAAGGGUUGGGUUUAGGUUUAGAUGUUAGGGUGUGGGUUAGUGGUAGGUUUCCAUUUAAGCUGAGUGUGUAGGGUAAUUUUUAUGGUUAGGAUUAAGGUUAGAGUUAGGGUCAGGGUCAGGGUUAGGGUUAAGUUUAGGGUGAGUUUUAUGGUUAGGAUUGGGUUAGGUUCAUGGUUGGGGGAGAUUUAGUGUUAUGUUUAGUUUUAGGAUAGGAUUGGGGUGAAGUUGAUGUUAAGCGUGCGGGUUAGGGUUAGGGCUAGGGGUUAUUGUUCAGAUUAGUGUCAGGGAUAGGGUUAGGGAUAGGUUUAGGGUUUGUUUUAGUUUUGUUUAAGGUUAGGGUUUGAAUAAAGUUAGGGUAGGUUUAGGGUUAUGGUUAGGUCUGGGCUAAGGAUUAGGGUUAGAGUUAGGGUUAGGGGUGUUUUGGUUAGGUUUAGGGUAGGGUUUUAUUUAGGGUUAGGGUAAGAAUUAGAGUUACGUUUACACUUAAGGUGAAGGUUUUGGGUAUGUGUUACGGUUAGGGUUAGGGUUAGAGUUAGGAUUAGGGUUUAGGGUUAGGUUUAAUUUUAUGGUAGGGUUAAAGUUAAGGUUAAGGUUAGGUUGGAGUUAGGGUAGGGUUAGGAUUAGGAUUAGGUUUAGGGGGAGGUUUAGGGUCAGAGUUAUCGUAAGGGUUAGGUGUAGGGUGACUGGUGGGCCAAGGUUAAGGUUAGUGUUAGGUUUAGGGGUAGGGUUAGGGUUAAAGUUAGGGUUAGCUUUAGGUUAGGGAUAGGGUGAAGUUUAAGAUAGGGUGAGGGUUAGGGUUAUGGCUAAGGUUCGGGUUAGUUUUCGGGUUAGUGUUACGGUUACGUUUAGGGUUAGGGUUAAGUUUAUGGGUUGUGUUUAGUUUUAGGGUUAGGGUUAGAUUUUAGGUUAGGGUUAAGUUUAGUGUAACAGUUAAGGUUACGGUUUGUGUUAGGCAUUGUGGUUGGGGUGAGGUUUAGGUUUAGGGUUAGGGUUGUGUAUGCUUAGGAUUAUGGUUAUGGUAAGGUGUUAGGGGUUAGAAGUGUAGUUUAGGGUUAGGGGUGGGUGAGGGUUCUGGUAAAGCAUUGUGGUUCUGACCAUGGUUAGGUUUGGUUUAGGGUUACGGUUAGCUUUAUGAUUAGGUUUCAGGUUAGUGUUCGAGUUAGAGUUAACGUUUGGGUUAGGCUUUGGUGUUAGGGGUUAGGGUUUGGGUUAGGGUUAGGGUUAUUGUUAGGGCUCAGGGGUUCAGGUUAGUGUUAGGGUUAGGGUUACGGAUAGCAUUAGGGUUAGGGUUGGGGAUACGGUUAGGGGUUAGGGUGAGGGUUACGGUUAGUUUUACAGUUAUGGUGAGUGUUCAGGGUAAGUGUUAUGGUUAUGGUUAGAGUUAGGGUUAGGGUUCGGGUGAAGUUUCAGUUAAUAGUGAGGGUUACGCUAAAAGUUAGGGUUAAUGUUAGAGUUAGGGUUAAGGUUAGCGUUAGUGUUAGGUUUAGGGUAGGUAAGGUUAGGGUUAAGACUAGGUUUACGGUAAAGGGUUGGGCUGGGUUAGGGUUAGGGUUAGGUUUAGAAUUAUACUUAGUGCUGAGUUUAGGGUUAGGGUUAGGGUCAGGAUUCGAGUUAUUGUUUGGUUUAGGUAUAGGUAGAGUUAAGGUUAGGUUUAAGUUUAGGUUUAGGGGAAGGGUUAGGUUUACGUCAGCGUUAGGUUUAGGAUUAGGGAUCGGGUUAGGGUUUGUGAAAGGGUUAGGGGUUCGUCUGAGGGUAAGUGUUAGGUUUACAGUUAAGCUGAUGUUUUAGGGUGUUAUGGUUAGGGUCAUUGUUAGGUUUAGCGUUCGGGCUAGAGUCAGGUGAUAGUUUAGGGUUAGGUUUAGGUUUAGUUUUAGGGUUAGGCUUAGGCUUAGGUUUAGGGUGAAGUUUAGGUUAAGGAUGAGGGUUAUGUUUAGGGUUAGUGUUAGGGUUAGGUGUUUGGGUUAAGGUUAGGGUCAGUUUAGGGUUCGGUUUAGAGUUCGGGUUAGCGUUAGGGUUCGGGUUAGGUGUUUGGGUUAACGUUAGGGUCAGGUUUAUGUUUGCGUUCAGGGUUAGUGUUGGGUUCGUUUUAGGGUUAGUGUUUGGGUGAAAUUUAAGUGAAGAGUGAGGGUUGAGCUUAGGGUUAGGGGUUAGGGUUAGGGUUAAGGUUCGUUUUAGGUUUAGGUUUAAGAUUAGGUUUAGGGUUAGGUUUAGGGUUAAAUCAUGGUUAGGCUAGGGCAUGGUUAAGGUUAGAGAUAGGGUGAGGUUAAGGGUUGGGGUUAGGUUUAGAUGUUAGGGUGUGGGUUAGUGGUAGGUUUCCAUUUAAGCUGAGUGUGUAGGGUAAUUUUUAUGGUUAGGAUUAAGGUUAGAGUUAGGGUCAGGGUCAGGGUUAGGGUUAAGUUUAGGGUUAGUUUUAUGGUUAGGAUUGGGUUAGGUUCAUGGUUGGGGGAGAUUUAGUGUUAUGUUUAGUUUUAGGAUAGGGUUAGGGUGAAGUUGAUGUUAAGCGUGCGGGUUAGGGUUAGGGCUAGGGGUUAUUGUUCAGAUUAGUGUCAGGGGUAGGGUUAGGGAUAGGUUUAGGGUUUGUUUUAGUUUUGUUUAAGGUUAGGGUUUGAAUAAAGUUAGGGUAGGUUUAGGGUUAUGGUUAGGUCUGGGCUAAGGAUUAGGGUUAGAGUUAGGGUUAGGGGUGUUUUGGUUAGGUUUAGGGUAGGGUUUUAUUUAGGGUUAGGGUAAGAAUUAGAGUUACGUUUACACUUAAGGUGAAGGUUUUGGGUAUGUGUUACGGUUAGGGUUAGGGUUAGAGUUAGGAUUAGGGUUUAGGGUUAGGUUUAAUUUUAUGGUAGGGUUAAAGUUAAGGUUAAGGUUAGGUUGGAGUUAGGGUAGGGUUAGGAUUAGGAUUAGGUUUAGGGGGAGGUUUAGGGUCAGAGUUAUCGUAAGGGUUAGGUGUAGGGUGACUGGUGGGCCAAGGUUAAGGUUAGUGUUAGGUUUAGGGGUAGGGUUAGGGUUAAAGUUAGGGUUAGCUUUAGGUUAGGGAUAGGGUGAAGUUUAAGAUAGGGUGAGGGUUAGGGUUAUGGCUAAGGUUCGGGUUAGUUUUCGGGUUAGUGUUAAGGUUACGUUUAGGGUUAGGGUUAAGUUUAUGGGUUGUGUUUAGUUUUAGGGUUAGGGUUAGAUUUUAGGUUAGGGUUAAGUUUAGUGUAACAGUUAAGGUUACGGUUUGUGUUAGGCAUUGUGGUUGGGGUGAGGUUUAGGUUUAGGGUUAGGGUUGUGUAUGCUUAGGAUUAUGGUUAUGGUAAGGUGUUAGGGGUUAGAAGUGUAGUUUAGGGUUAGGGGUGGGUGAGGGUUCUGGUAAAGCAUUGUGGUUCUGACCAUGGUUAGGUUUGGUUUAGGGUUACGGUUAGCUUUAUGAUUAGGUUUCAGGUUAGUGUUCGAGUUAGAGUUAACGUUUGGGUUAGGCUUUGGUGUUAGGGGUUAGGGUUUGGGUUAGGGUUAGGGUUAUUGUUAGGGCUCAGGGGUUCAGGUUAGUGUUAGGGUUAGGGUUACGGAUAGCAUUAGGGUUAGGGUUGGGGAUACGGUUAGGGGUUAGGGUGAGGGUUACGGUUAGUUUUACAGUUAUGGUGAGUGUUCAGGGUAAGUGUUAUGGUUAUGGUUAGAAUUAGGGUUAGGGUUCGGGUGAAGUUUCAGUUAAUAGUGAGGGUUACGCUAAAAGUUAGGGUUAAUGUUAGAGUUAGGGUUAAGGUUAGCGUUAGUGUUAGGUUUAGGGUAGGUAAGGUUAGGGUUAAGACUAGGUUUACGGUAAAGGGUUGGGCUGGGUUAGGGUUAGGGUUAGGUUUAGAAUUAUACUUAGUGCUGAGUUUAGGGUUAGGGUUAGGGUCAGGAUUCGAGUUAUUGUUUGGUUUAGGUAUAGGUAGAGUUAAGGUUAGGUUUAAGUUUAGGUUUAGGGGAAGGGUUAGGUUUACGUCAGCGUUAGGUUUAGGAUUAGGGAUCGGGUUAGGGUUUGUGAAAGGGUUAGGGGUUCGUCUGAGGGUAAGUGUUAGGUUUACAGUUAAGCUGAUGUUUUAGGGUGUUAUGGUUAGGGUCAUUGUUAGGUUUAGCGUUCGGGCUAGAGUCAGGUGAUAGUUUAGGGUUAGGUUUAGGUUUAGUUUUAGGGUUAGGCUUAGGCUUAGGUUUAGGGUGAAGUUUAGGUUAAGGAUGAGGGUUAUGUUUAGGGUUAGUGUUAGGGUUAGGUGUUUGGGUUAAGGUUAGGGUCAGUUUAGUGUUCGGUUUAGAGUUCGGGUUAGCGUUAGGGUUCGGGUUAGGUGUUUGGGUUAACGUUAGGGUCAGGUUUAUGUUUGCGUUUAGGGUUAGUGUUGGGUUCGUUUUAGGGUUAGUGUUUGGGUGAAAUUUAAGUGAAGAGUGAGGGUUGAGCUUAGGGUUAGGGGUUAGGGUUAGGGUUAAGGUUCGUUUUAGGUUUAGGUUUAAGAUUAGGUUUAGGGUAAGUGUUAGGGUUAAAUCAUGGUUAGGCUAGGGCAUGGUUAAGGUUAGAGAUAGGGUGAGGUUAAGGGUUGGGGUUAGGUUUAGAUGUUAGGGUGAGGGUUAGUGCUAGGUUUCCAUUUAAGUUGAGUUUGUAGGGUAAGUUUUAGGGUUGGAUUAGGGUUAGAGUUAGAGUUAGGGUCAGGGUUAGGGUUAAGGUUCGGGUUAGGGUUAGGUUUAUGGUUAGGAUUUGGGUUACGGUCAGGGUUAGGGGGAGAUUUAGUGUUAUGUUUAGUUUCAGGGUCAGGGUUAGGGUGCAGUUUAGGUUAAGGAUGAGGGUUAGGGUUAGGUUUAGUGUUAGGGUUAGGUGUUUGGGUUAAGGUUAGGGUCAGGUUAGGGUUAGGGUUAGGGUUAGGCUUACUGUUUGUUAGGGUUAGGGUUAGGUGUUUGGGUUAAUGUUAGAGUCAGGUUUAGGGUUAGGUUUAGAGUUAGGAUUAGGAUUCGGUUUAAAGUUAGAGUUCGGGAUAGGGUGAAGUUUAAUUUAAGGGUGAGGGUUGAGCUUAGGGUUUGGGGUAGGGGUUAGGGUUCAGGUUAGGAUUAGGUUUAAGGUAAAGGUUAGGUUUAGGGUCAGGUUUAGGGUAAGUGUUAGGAUUAAGUCAUGUUUAGGUGUAGGGCUAGGAUAAGGUUAGAGAUAGGGUUAGGUUAAGGGUUGGGUUUAGGUUUAGAUGUUAGGGUGUGGGUUAGUGGUAGGUUUCCAUUUAAGCUGAGUGUGUAGGGCAAUUUUUAUGGUUAGGAUUAAGGUUAGAGUUAGGGUCAGGGUCAGGGUUAGGGUUAAGUUUAGGGUUAGUUUUAUGGUUAGGAUUGGGUUAGGUUCAUGGUUGGGGGAGAUUUAGUGUUAUGUUUAGUUUUAGGAUAGGGUUAGGGUGAAGUUGAUGUUAAGCGUGCGGGUUAGGGUUAGGGCUAGGGGUUAUUGUUCAGAUUAGUGUCAGGGGUAGGGUUAGGGAUAGGUUUAGGGUUUGUUUUAGUUUUGUUUAAGGUUAGGUUUUGAAUAAAGUUAGGGUAGGUUUAGGGUUAUGGUUAGGUCUGGGCUAAGGAUUAGGGUUAGAGUUAGGGUUAGGGGUGUUUUGGUUAGGUUUAGGGUAGGGUUUUAUUUAGGGUUAGGGUAAGAAUUAGAGUUACGUUUACACUUAAGGUGAAGGUUUUGGGUAUGUGUUACGGUUAGGGUUAGGGUUAGAGUUAGGAUUAGGGUUUAGGGUUAGGUUUAAUUUUAUGGUAGGGUUAAAGUUAAGGUUAAGGUUAGGUUGGAGUUAGGGUAGGGUUAGGAUUAGGAUUAGGUUUAGGGGGAGGUUUAGGGUCAGAGUGAUCGUAAGGGUUAGGUGUAGGGUGACUGGUGGGCCAAGGUUAAGGUUAGUGUUAGGUUUAGGGGUAGGGUUAGGGUUAAAGUUAGGGUUAGCUUUAGGUUAGGGAUAGGGUGAAGUUUAAGAUAGGGUGAGGGUUAGGGUUAUGGCUAAGGUUCGGGUUAGUUUUCGGGUUAGUGUUAAGGUUACGUUUAGGGUUAGGGUUAAGUUUAUGGGUUGUGUUUAGUUUUAGGGUUAGGGUUAGAUUUUAGGUUAGGGUUAAGUUUAGUGUAACAGUUAAGGUUACGGUUUGUGUUAGGCAUUGUGGUUGGGGUGAGGUUUAGGUUUAGGGUUAGGGUUGUGUAUGCUUAGGAUUAUGGUUAUGGUAAGGUGUUAGGGGUUAGAAGUGUAGUUUAGGGUUAGGGGUGGGUGAGGGUUCUGGUAAAGCAUUGUGGUUCUGACCAUGGUUAGGUUUGGUUUAGGGUUACGGUUAGCUUUAUGAUUAGGUUUCAGGUUAGUGUUCGAGUUAGAGUUAACGUUUGGGUUAGGCUUUGGUGUUAGGGGUUAGGGUUUGGGUUAGGGUUAGGGUUAUUGUUAGGGCUCAGGGGUUCAGGUUAGUGUUAGGGUUAGGGUUACGGAUAGCAUUAGGGUUAGGGUUGGGGAUACGGAUAGGGGUUAGGGUGAGGGUUACGGUUAGUUUUACAGUUAUGGUGAGUGUUCAGGGUAAGUGUUAUGGUUAUGGUUAGAGUUAGGGUUAGGGUUCGGGUGAAGUUUCAGUUAAUAGUGAGGGUUACGCUAAAAGUUAGGGUUAAUGUUAGAGUUAGGGUUAAGGUUAGCGUUAGUGUUAGGUUUAGGGUAGGUAAGGUUAGGGUUAAGACUAGGUUUACGGUAAAGGGUUGGGCUGGGUUAGGGUUAGGGUUAGGUUUAGAAUUAUACUUAGUGCUGAGUUUAGGGUUAGGGUUAGGGUCAGGAUUCGAGUUAUUGUUUGGUUUAGGUAUAGGUAGAGUUAAGGUUAGGUUUAAGUUUAGGUUUAGGGGAAGGGUUAGGUUUACGUCAGCGUUAGGUUUAGGAUUAGGGAUCGGGUUAGGGUUUGUGAAAGGGUUAGGGGUUCGUCUGAGGGUAAGUGUUAGGUUUACAGUUAAGCUGAUGUUUUAGGGUGUUAUGGUUAGGGUCAUUGUUAGGUUUAGCGUUCGGGCUAGAGUCAGGUGAUAGUUUAGGGUUAGGUUUAGGUUUAGUUUUAGGGUUAGGCUUAGGCUUAGGUUUAGGGUGAAGUUUAGGUUAAGGAUGAGGGUUAUGUUUAGGGUUAGUGUUAGGGUUAGGUGUUUGGGUUAAGGUUAGGGUCAGUUUAGGGUUCGGUUUAGAGUUCGGGUUAGCGUUAGGGUUCGGGUUAGGUGUUUGGGUUAACGUUAGGGUCAGGUUUAUGUUUGCGUUUAGGGUUAGUGUUGGGUUCGUUUUAGGGUUAGUGUUUGGGUGAAAUUUAAGUGAAGAGUGAGGGUUGAGCUUAGGGUUAGGGGUUAGGGUUAGGGUUAAGGUUCGUUUUAGGUUUAGGUUUAAGAUUAGGUUUAGGGUAAGUGUUAGGGUUAAAUCAUGGUUAGGCUAGGGCAUGGUUAAGGUUAGAGAUAGGGUGAGGUUAAGGGUUGGGGUUAGGUUUAGAUGUUAGGGUGAGGGUUAGUGCUAGGUUUCCAUUUAAGUUGAGUUUGUAGGGUAAGUUUUAGGGUUGGAUUAGGGUUAGAGUUAGAGUUAGGGUCAGGGUUAGGGUUAAGGUUCGGGUUAGGGUUAGGUUUAUGGUUAGGAUUUGGGUUACGGUCAGGGUUAGGGGGAGAUUUAGUGUUAUGUUUAGUUUCAGGGUCAGGGUUAGGGUGCAGUUUAGGUUAAGGAUGAGGGUUAGGGUUAGGUUUAGUGUUAGGGUUAGGUGUUUGGGUUAAGGUUAGGGUCAGGUUAGGGUUAGGGUUAGGGUUAGGCUUACUGUUUGUUAGGGUUAGGGUUAGGUGUUUGGGUUAAUGUUAGAGUCAGGUUUAGGGUUAGGUUUAGAGUUAGGAUUAGGAUUCGGUUUAAAGUUAGAGUUCGGGAUAGGGUGAAGUUUAAUUUAAGGGUGAGGGUUGAGCUUAGGGUUUGGGGUAGGGGUUAGGGUUCAGGUUAGGAUUAGGUUUAAGGUAAAGGUUAGGUUUAGGGUCAGGUUUAGGGUAAGUGUUAGGAUUAAGUCAUGUUUAGGUGUAGGGCUAGGAUAAGGUUAGAGAUAGGGUUAGGUUAAGGGUUGGGUUUAGGUUUAGAUGUUAGGGUGUGGGUUAGUGGUAGGUUUCCAUUUAAGCUGAGUGUGUAGGGUAAUUUUUAUGGUUAGGAUUAAGGUUAGAGUUAGGGUCAGGGUCAGGGUUAGGGUUAAGUUUAGGGUUAGUUUUAUGGUUAGGAUUGGGUUAGGUUCAUGGUUGGGGGAGAUUUAGUGUUAUGUUUAGUUUUAGGAUAGGGUUAGGGUGAAGUUGAUGUUAAGCGUGCGGGUUAGGGUUAGGGCUAGGGGUUAUUGUUCAGAUUAGUGUCAGGGGUAGGGUUAGGGAUAGGUUUAGGGUUUGUUUUAGUUUUGUUUAAGGUUAGGGUUUGAAUAAAGUUAGGGUAGGUUUAGGGUUAUGGUUAGGUCUGGGCUAAGGAUUAGGGUUAGAGUUAGGGUUAGGGGUGUUUUGGUUAGGUUUAGGGUAGGGUUUUAUUUAGGGUUAGGGUAAGAAUUAGAGUUACGUUUACACUUAAGGUGAAGGUUUUGGGUAUGUGUUACGGUUAGGGUUAGGGUUAGAGUUAGGAUUAGGGUUUAGGGUUAGGUUUAAUUUUAUGGUAGGGUUAAAGUUAAGGUUAAGGUUAGGUUGGAGUUAGGGUAGGGUUAGGAUUAGGAUUAGGUUUAGGGGGAGGUUUAGGGUCAGAGUUAUCGUAAGGGUUAGGUGUAGGGUGACUGGUGGGCCAAGGUUAAGGUUAGUGUUAGGUUUAGGGGUAGGGUUAGGGUUAAAGUUAGGGUUAGCUUUAGGUUAGGGAUAGGGUGAAGUUUAAGAUAGGGUGAGGGUUAGGGUUAUGGCUAAGGUUCGGGUUAGUUUUCGGGUUAGUGUUAAGGUUACGUUUAGGGUUAGGGUUAAGUUUAUGGGUUGUGUUUAGUUUUAGGGUUAGGGUUAGAUUUUAGGUUAGGGUUAAGUUUAGUGUAACAGUUAAGGUUACGGUUUGUGUUAGGCAUUGUGGUUGGGGUGAGGUUUAGGUUUAGGGUUAGGGUUGUGUAUGCUUAGGAUUAUGGUUAUGGUAAGGUGUUAGGGGUUAGAAGUGUAGUUUAGGGUUAGGGGUGGGUGAGGGUUCUGGUAAAGCAUUGUGGUUCUGACCAUGGUUAGGUUUGGUUUAGGGUUACGGUUAGCUUUAUGAUUAGGUUUCAGGUUAGUGUUCGAGUUAGAGUUAACGUUUGGGUUAGGCUUUGGUGUUAGGGGUUAGGGUUUGGGUUAGGGUUAGGGUUAUUGUUAGGGCUCAGGGGUUCAGGUUAGUGUUAGGGUUAGGGUUACGGAUAGCAUUAGGGUUAGGGUUGGGGAUACGGAUAGGGGUUAGGGUGAGGGUUACGGUUAGUUUUACAGUUAUGGUGAGUGUUCAGGGUAAGUGUUAUGGUUAUGGUUAGAGUUAGGGUUAGGGUUCGGGUGAAGUUUCAGUUAAUAGUGAGGGUUACGCUAAAAGUUAGGGUUAAUGUUAGAGUUAGGGUUAAGGUUAGCGUUAGUGUUAGGUUUAGGGUAGGUAAGGUUAGGGUUAAGACUAGGUUUACGGUAAAGGGUUGGGCUGGGUUAGGGUUAGGGUUAGGUUUAGAAUUAUACUUAGUGCUGAGUUUAGGGUUAGGGUUAGGGUCAGGAUUCGAGUUAUUGUUUGGUUUAGGUAUAGGUAGAGUUAAGGUUAGGUUUAAGUUUAGGUUUAGGGGAAGGGUUAGGUUUACGUCAGCGUUAGGUUUAGGAUUAGGGAUCGGGUUAGGGUUUGUGAAAGGGUUAGGGGUUCGUCUGAGGGUAAGUGUUAGGUUUACAGUUAAGCUGAUGUUUUAGGGUGUUAUGGUUAGGGUCAUUGUUAGGUUUAGCGUUCGGGCUAGAGUCAGGUGAUAGUUUAGGGUUAGGUUUAGGUUUAGUUUUAGGGUUAGGCUUAGGCUUAGGUUUAGGGUGAAGUUUAGGUUAAGGAUGAGGGUUAUGUUUAGGGUUAGUGUUAGGGUUAGGUGUUUGGGUUAAGGUUAGGGUCAGUUUAGGGUUCGGUUUAGAGUUCGGGUUAGCGUUAGGGUUCGGGUUAGGUGUUUGGGUUAACGUUAGGGUCAGGUUUAUGUUUGCGUUUAGGGUUAGUGUUGGGUUCAUUUUAGGGUUAGUGUUUGGGUGAAAUUUAAGUGAAGAGUGAGGGUUGAGCUUAGGGUUAGGGGUUAGGGUUAGGGUUAAGGUUCGUUUUAGGUUUAGGUUUAAGAUUAGGUUUAGGGUAAGUGUUAGGGUUAAAUCAUGGUUAGGCUAGGGCAUGGUUAAGGUUAGAGAUAGGGUGAGGUUAAGGGUUGGGGUUAGGUUUAGAUGUUAGGGUGAGGGUUAGUGCUAGGUUUCCAUUUAAGUUGAGUUUGUAGGGUAAGUUUUAGGGUUGGAUUAGGGUUAGAGUUAGAGUUAGGGUCAGGGUUAGGGUUAAGGUUCGGGUUAGGGUUAGGUUUAUGGUUAGGAUUUGGGUUACGGUCAGGGUUAGGGGGAGAUUUAGUGUUAUGUUUAGUUUCAGGGUCAGGGUUAGGGUGCAGUUUAGGUUAAGGAUGAGGGUUAGGGUUAGGUUUAGUGUUAGGGUUAGGUGUUUGGGUUAAGGUUAGGGUCAGGUUAGGGUUAGGGUUAGGGUUAGGCUUACUGUUUGUUAGGGUUAGGGUUAGGUGUUUGGGUUAAUGUUAGAGUCAGGUUUAGGGUUAGGUUUAGAGUUAGGAUUAGGAUUCGGUUUAAAGUUAGAGUUCGGGAUAGGGUGAAGUUUAAUUUAAGGGUGAGGGUUGAGCUUAGGGUUUGGGGUAGGGGUUAGGGUUCAGGUUAGGAUUAGGUUUAAGGUAAAGGUUAGGUUUAGGGUCAGGUUUAGGGUAAGUGUUAGGAUUAAGUCAUGUUUAGGUGUAGGGCUAGGAUAAGGUUAGAGAUAGGGUUAGGUUAAGGGUUGGGUUUAGGUUUAGAUGUUAGGGUGUGGGUUAGUGGUAGGUUUCCAUUUAAGCUGAGUGUGUAGGGUAAUUUUUAUGGUUAGGAUUAAGGUUAGAGUUAGGGUCAGGGUCAGGGUUAGGGUUAAGUUUAGGGUUAGUUUUAUGGUUAGGAUUGGGUUAGGUUCAUGGUUGGGGGAGAUUUAGUGUUAUGUUUAGUUUUAGGAUAGGGUUAGGGUGAAGUUGAUGUUAAGCGUGCGGGUUAGGGUUAGGGCUAGGGGUUAUUGUUCAGAUUAGUGUCAGGGGUAGGGUUAGGGAUAGGUUUAGGGUUUAUUUUAGUUUUGUUUAAGGUUAGGGUUUGAAUAAAGUUAGGGUAGGUUUAGGGUUAUGGUUAGGUCUGGGCUAAGGAUUAGGGUUAGAGUUAGGGUUAGGGGUGUUUUGGUUAGGUUUAGGGUAGGGUUUUAUUUAGGGUUAGGGUAAGAAUUAGAGUUACGUUUACACUUAAGGUGAAGGUUUUGGGUAUGUGUUACGGUUAGGGUUAGGGUUAGAGUUAGGAUUAGGGUUUAGGGUUAGGUUUAAUUUUAUGGUAGGGUUAAAGUUAAGGUUAAGGUUAGGUUGGAGUUAGGGUAGGGUUAGGAUUAGGAUUAGGUUUAGGGGGAGGUUUAGGGUCAGAGUUAUCGUAAGGGUUAGGUGUAGGGUGACUGGUGGGCCAAGGUUAAGGUUAGUGUUAGGUUUAGGGGUAGGGUUAGGGUUAAAGUUAGGGUUAGCUUUAGGUUAGGGAUAGGGUGAAGUUUAAGAUAGGGUGAGGGUUAGGGUUAUGGCUAAGGUUCGGGUUAGUUUUCGGGUUAGUGUUAAGGUUACGUUUAGGGUUAGGGUUAAGUUUAUGGGUUGUGUUUAGUUUUAGGGUUAGGGUUAGAUUUUAGGUUAGGGUUAAGUUUAGUGUAACAGUUAAGGUUACGGUUUGUGUUAGGCAUUGUGGUUGGGGUGAGGUUUAGGUUUAGGGUUAGGGUUGUGUAUGCUUAGGAUUAUGGUUAUGGUAAGGUGUUAGGGGUUAGAAGUGUAGUUUAGGGUUAGGGGUGGGUGAGGGUUCUGGUAAAGCAUUGUGGUUCUGACCAUGGUUAGGUUUGGUUUAGGGUUACGGUUAGCUUUAUGAUUAGGUUUCAGGUUAGUGUUCGAGUUAGAGUUAACGUUUGGGUUAGGCUUUGGUGUUAGGGGUUAGGGUUUGGGUUAGGGUUAGGGUUAUUGUUAGGGCUCAGGGGUUCAGGUUAGUGUUAGGGUUAGGGUUACGGAUAGCAUUAGGGUUAGGGUUGGGGAUACGGAUAGGGGUUAGGGUGAGGGUUACGGUUAGUUUUACAGUUAUGGUGAGUGUUCAGGGUAAGUGUUAUGGUUAUGGUUAGAGUUAGGGUUAGGGUUCGGGUGAAGUUUCAGUUAAUAGUGAGGGUUACGCUAAAAGUUAGGGUUAAUGUUAGAGUUAGGGUUAAGGUUAGCGUUAGUGUUAGGUUUAGGGUAGGUAAGGUUAGGGUUAAGACUAGGUUUACGGUAAAGGGUUGGGCUGGGUUAGGGUUAGGGUUAGGUUUAGAAUUAUACUUAGUGCUGAGUUUAGGGUUAGGGUUAGGGUCAGGAUUCGAGUUAUUGUUUGGUUUAGGUAUAGGUAGAGUUAAGGUUAGGUUUAAGUUUAGGUUUAGGGGAAGGGUUAGGUUUACGUCAGCGUUAGGUUUAGGAUUAGGGAUCGGGUUAGGGUUUGUGAAAGGGUUAGGGGUUCGUCUGAGGGUAAGUGUUAGGUUUACAGUUAAGCUGAUGUUUUAGGGUGUUAUGGUUAGGGUCAUUGUUAGGUUUAGCGUUCGGGCUAGAGUCAGGUGAUAGUUUAGGGUUAGGUUUAGGUUUAGUUUUAGGGUUAGGCUUAGGCUUAGGUUUAGGGUGAAGUUUAGGUUAAGGAUGAGGGUUAUGUUUAGGGUUAGUGUUAGGGUUAGGUGUUUGGGUUAAGGUUAGGGUCAGUUUAGGGUUCGGUUUAGAGUUCGGGUUAGCGUUAGGGUUCGGGUUAGGUGUUUGGGUUAACGUUAGGGUCAGGUUUAUGUUUGCGUUUAGGGUUAGUGUUGGGUUCGUUUUAGGGUUAGUGUUUGGGUGAAAUUUAAGUGAAGAGUGAGGGUUGAGCUUAGGGUUAGGGGUUAGGGUUAGGGUUAAGGUUCGUUUUAGGUUUAGGUUUAAGAUUAGGUUUAGGGUAAGUGUUAGGGUUAAAUCAUGGUUAGGCUAGGGCAUGGUUAAGGUUAGAGAUAGGGUGAGGUUAAGGGUUGGGGUUAGGUUUAGAUGUUAGGGUGAGGGUUAGUGCUAGGUUUCCAUUUAAGUUGAGUUUGUAGGGUAAGUUUUAGGGUUGGAUUAGGGUUAGAGUUAGAGUUAGGGUCAGGGUUAGGGUUAAGGUUCGGGUUAGGGUUAGGUUUAUGGUUAGGAUUUGGGUUACGGUCAGGGUUAGGGGGAGAUUUAGUGUUAUGUUUAGUUUCAGGGUCAGGGUUAGGGUGCAGUUUAGGUUAAGGAUGAGGGUUAGGGUUAGGUUUAGUGUUAGGGUUAGGUGUUUGGGUUAAGGUUAGGGUCAGGUUAGGGUUAGGGUUAGGGUUAGGCUUACUGUUUGUUAGGGUUAGGGUUAGGUGUUUGGGUUAGGCUUACUGUUUGUUAGGGUGAGGGUUAGGUGUUUGGGUUAAUGUUAGAGUCAGGUUUAGGGUUAGGUUUAGAGUUAGGAUUAGGAUUCGGUUUAAAGUUAGAGUUCGGGAUAGGGUGAAGUUUAAUUUAAGGGUGAGGGUUGAGCUUAGGGUUUGGGGUAGGGGUUAGGGUUCAGGUUAGGAUUAGGUUUAAGGUAAAGGUUAGGUUUAGGGUCAGGUUUAGGGUAAGUGUUAGGAUUAAGUCAUGUUUAGGUGUAGGGCUAGGAUAAGGUUAGAGAUAGGGUUAGGUUAAGGGUUGGGUUUAGGUUUAGAUGUUAGGGUGUGGGUUAGUGGUAGGUUUCCAUUUAAGCUGAGUGUGUAGGGUAAUUUUUAUGGUUAGGAUUAAGGUUAGAGUUAGGGUCAGGGUCAGGGUUAGGGUUAAGUUUAGGGUUAGUUUUAUGGUUAGGAUUGGGUUAGGUUCAUGGUUGGGGGAGAUUUAGUGUUAUGUUUAGUUUUAGGAUAGGGUUAGGGUGAAGUUGAUGUUAAGCGUGCGGGUUAGGGUUAGGGCUAGGGGUUAUUGUUCAGAUUAGUGUCAGGGGUAGGGUUAGGGAUAGGUUUAGGGUUUGUUUUAGUUUUGUUUAAGGUUAGGGUUUGAAUAAAGUUAGGGUAGGUUUAGGGUUAUGGUUAGGUCUGGGCUAAGGAUUAGGGUUAGAGUUAGGGUUAGGGGUGUUUUGGUUAGGUUUAGGGUAGGGUUUUAUUUAGGGUUAGGGUAAGAAUUAGAGUUACGUUUACACUUAAGGUGAAGGUUUUGGGUAUGUGUUACGGUUAGGGUUAGGGUUAGAGUUAGGAUUAGGGUUUAGGGUUAGGUUUAAUUUUAUGGUAGGGUUAAAGUUAAGGUUAAGGUUAGGUUGGAGUUAGGGUAGGGUUAGGAUUAGGAUUAGGUUUAGGGGGAGGUUUAGGGUCAGAGUUAUCGUAAGGGUUAGGUGUAGGGUGACUGGUGGGCCAAGGUUAAGGUUAGUGUUAGGUUUAGGGGUAGGGUUAGGGUUAAAGUUAGGGUUAGCUUUAGGUUAGGGAUAGGGUGAAGUUUAAGAUAGGGUGAGGGUUAGGGUUAUGGCUAAGGUUCGGGUUAGUUUUCGGGUUAGUGUUAAGGUUACGUUUAGGGUUAGGGUUAAGUUUAUGGGUUGUGUUUAGUUUUAGGGUUAGGGUUAGAUUUUAGGUUAGGGUUAAGUUUAGUGUAACAGUUAAGGUUACGGUUUGUGUUAGGCAUUGUGGUUGGGGUGAGGUUUAGGUUUAGGGUUAGGGUUGUGUAUGCUUAGGAUUAUGGUUAUGGUAAGGUGUUAGGGGUUAGAAGUGUAGUUUAGGGUUAGGGGUGGGUGAGGGUUCUGGUAAAGCAUUGUGGUUCUGACCAUGGUUAGGUUUGGUUUAGGGUUACGGUUAGCUUUAUGAUUAGGUUUCAGGUUAGUGUUCGAGUUAGAGUUAACGUUUGGGUUAGGCUUUGGUGUUAGGGGUUAGGGUUUGGGUUAGGGUUAGGGUUAUUGUUAGGGCUCAGGGGUUCAGGUUAGUGUUAGGGUUAGGGUUACGGAUAGCAUUAGGGUUAGGGUUGGGGAUACGGAUAGGGGUUAGGGUGAGGGUUACGGUUAGUUUUACAGUUAUGGUGAGUGUUCAGGGUAAGUGUUAUGGUUAUGGUUAGAGUUAGGGUUAGGGUUCGGGUGAAGUUUCAGUUAAUAGUGAGGGUUACGCUAAAAGUUAGGGUUAAUGUUAGAGUUAGGGUUAAGGUUAGCGUUAGUGUUAGGUUUAGGGUAGGUAAGGUUAGGGUUAAGACUAGGUUUACGGUAAAGGGUUGGGCUGGGUUAGGGUUAGGGUUAGGUUUAGAAUUAUACUUAGUGCUGAGUUUAGGGUUAGGGUUAGGGUCAGGAUUCGAGUUAUUGUUUGGUUUAGGUAUAGGUAGAGUUAAGGUUAGGUUUAAGUUUAGGUUUAGGGGAAGGGUUAGGUUUACGUCAGCGUUAGGUUUAGGAUUAGGGAUCGGGUUAGGGUUUGUGAAAGGGUUAGGGGUUCGUCUGAGGGUAAGUGUUAGGUUUACAGUUAAGCUGAUGUUUUAGGGUGUUAUGGUUAGGGUCAUUGUUAGGUUUAGCGUUCGGGCUAGAGUCAGGUGAUAGUUUAGGGUUAGGUUUAGGUUUAGUUUUAGGGUUAGGCUUAGGCUUAGGUUUAGGGUGAAGUUUAGGUUAAGGAUGAGGGUUAUGUUUAGGGUUAGUGUUAGGGUUAGGUGUUUGGGUUAAGGUUAGGGUCAGUUUAGGGUUCGGUUUAGAGUUCGGGUUAGCGUUAGGGUUCGGGUUAGGUGUUUGGGUUAACGUUAGGGUCAGGUUUAUGUUUGCGUUUAGGGUUAGUGUUGGGUUCGUUUUAGGGUUAGUGUUUGGGUGAAAUUUAAGUGAAGAGUGAGGGUUGAGCUUAGGGUUAGGGGUUAGGGUUAGGGUUAAGGUUCGUUUUAGGUUUAGGUUUAAGAUUAGGUUUAGGGUAAGUGUUAGGGUUAAAUCAUGGUUAGGCUAGGGCAUGGUUAAGGUUAGAGAUAGGGUGAGGUUAAGGGUUGGGGUUAGGUUUAGAUGUUAGGGUGAGGGUUAGUGCUAGGUUUCCAUUUAAGUUGAGUUUGUAGGGUAAGUUUUAGGGUUGGAUUAGGGUUAGAGUUAGAGUUAGGGUCAGGGUUAGGGUUAAGGUUCGGGUUAGGGUUAGGUUUAUGGUUAGGAUUUGGGUUACGGUCAGGGUUAGGGGGAGAUUUAGUGUUAUGUUUAGUUUCAGGGUCAGGGUUAGGGUGCAGUUUAGGUUAAGGAUGAGGGUUAGGGUUAGGUUUAGUGUUAGGGUUAGGUGUUUGGGUUAAGGUUAGGGUCAGGUUAGGGUUAGGGUUAGGGUUAGGCUUACUGUUUGUUAGGGUUAGGGUUAGGUGUUUGGGUUAGGCUUACUGUUUGUUAGGGUGAGGGUUAGGUGUUUGGGUUAAUGUUAGAGUCAGGUUUAGGGUUAGGUUUAGAGUUAGGAUUAGGAUUCGGUUUAAAGUUAGAGUUCGGGAUAGGGUGAAGUUUAAUUUAAGGGUGAGGGUUGAGCUUAGGGUUUGGGGUAGGGGUUAGGGUUCAGGUUAGGAUUAGGUUUAAGGUAAAGGUUAGGUUUAGGGUCAGGUUUAGGGUAAGUGUUAGGAUUAAGUCAUGUUUAGGUGUAGGGCUAGGAUAAGGUUAGAGAUAGGGUUAGGUUAAGGGUUGGGUUUAGGUUUAGAUGUUAGGGUGUGGGUUAGUGGUAGGUUUCCAUUUAAGCUGAGUGUGUAGGGUAAUUUUUAUGGUUAGGAUUAAGGUUAGAGUUAGGGUCAGGGUCAGGGUUAGGGUUAAGUUUAGGGUUAGUUUUAUGGUUAGGAUUGGGUUAGGUUCAUGGUUGGGGGAGAUUUAGUGUUAUGUUUAGUUUUAGGAUAGGGUUAGGGUGAAGUUGAUGUUAAGCGUGCGGGUUAGGGUUAGGGCUAGGGGUUAUUGUUCAGAUUAGUGUCAGGGGUAGGGUUAGGGAUAGGUUUAGGGUUUGUUUUAGUUUUGUUUAAGGUUAGGGUUUGAAUAAAGUUAGGGUAGGUUUAGGGUUAUGGUUAGGUCUGGGCUAAGGAUUAGGGUUAGAGUUAGGGUUAGGGGUGUUUUGGUUAGGUUUAGGGUAGGGUUUUAUUUAGGGUUAGGGUAAGAAUUAGAGUUACGUUUACACUUAAGGUGAAGGUUUUGGGUAUGUGUUACGGUUAGGGUUAGGGUUAGAGUUAGGAUUAGGGUUUAGGGUUAGGUUUAAUUUUAUGGUAGGGUUAAAGUUAAGGUUAAGGUUAGGUUGGAGUUAGGGUAGGGUUAGGAUUAGGAUUAGGUUUAGGGGGAGGUUUAGGGUCAGAGUUAUCGUAAGGGUUAGGUGUAGGGUGACUGGUGGGCCAAGGUUAAGGUUAGUGUUAGGUUUAGGGGUAGGGUUAGGGUUAAAGUUAGGGUUAGCUUUAGGUUAGGGAUAGGGUGAAGUUUAAGAUAGGGUGAGGGUUAGGGUUAUGGCUAAGGUUCGGGUUAGUUUUCGGGUUAGUGUUAAGGUUACGUUUAGGGUUAGGGUUAAGUUUAUGGGUUGUGUUUAGUUUUAGGGUUAGGGUUAGAUUUUAGGUUAGGGUUAAGUUUAGUGUAACAGUUAAGGUUACGGUUUGUGUUAGGCAUUGUGGUUGGGGUGAGGUUUAGGUUUAGGGUUAGGGUUGUGUAUGCUUAGGAUUAUGGUUAUGGUAAGGUGUUAGGGGUUAGAAGUGUAGUUUAGGGUUAGGGGUGGGUGAGGGUUCUGGUAAAGCAUUGUGGUUCUGACCAUGGUUAGGUUUGGUUUAGGGUUACGGUUAGCUUUAUGAUUAGGUUUCAGGUUAGUGUUCGAGUUAGAGUUAACGUUUGGGUUAGGCUUUGGUGUUAGGGGUUAGGGUUUGGGUUAGGGUUAGGGUUAUUGUUAGGGCUCAGGGGUUCAGGUUAGUGUUAGGGUUAGGGUUACGGAUAGCAUUAGGGUUAGGGUUGGGGAUACGGAUAGGGGUUAGGGUGAGGGUUACGGUUAGUUUUACAGUUAUGGUGAGUGUUCAGGGUAAGUGUUAUGGUUAUGGUUAGAGUUAGGGUUAGGGUUCGGGUGAAGUUUCAGUUAAUAGUGAGGGUUACGCUAAAAGUUAGGGUUAAUGUUAGAGUUAGGGUUAAGGUUAGCGUUAGUGUUAGGUUUAGGGUAGGUAAGGUUAGGGUUAAGACUAGGUUUACGGUAAAGGGUUGGGCUGGGUUAGGGUUAGGGUUAGGUUUAGAAUUAUACUUAGUGCUGAGUUUAGGGUUAGGGUUAGGGUCAGGAUUCGAGUUAUUGUUUGGUUUAGGUAUAGGUAGAGUUAAGGUUAGGUUUAAGUUUAGGUUUAGGGGAAGGGUUAGGUUUACGUCAGCGUUAGGUUUAGGAUUAGGGAUCGGGUUAGGGUUUGUGAAAGGGUUAGGGGUUCGUCUGAGGGUAAGUGUUAGGUUUACAGUUAAGCUGAUGUUUUAGGGUGUUAUGGUUAGGGUCAUUGUUAGGUUUAGCGUUCGGGCUAGAGUCAGGUGAUAGUUUAGCGUUAGGUUUAGGUUUAGUUUUAGGGUUAGGCUUAGGCUUAGGUUUAGGGUGAAAUUUAGGUUAAGGAUGAGGGUUAUGUUUAGGGUUAGUGUUAGGGUUAGGUGUUUGGGUUAAGGUUAGGGUCAGUUUAGGGUUCGGUUUAGAGUUCGGGUUAGCGUUAGGGUUCGGGUUAGGUGUUUGGGUUAACGUUAGGGUCAGGUUUAUGUUUGCGUUUAGGGUUAGUGUUGGGUUCGUUUUAGGGUUAGUGUUUGGGUGAAAUUUAAGUGAAGAGUGAGGGUUGAGCUUAGGGUUAGGGGUUAGGGUUAGGGUUAAGGUUCGUUUUAGGUUUAGGUUUAAGAUUAGGUUUAGGGUUAGGUUUAGGGUUAAAUCAUGGUUAGGCUAGGGCAUGGUUAAGGUUAGAGAUAGGGUGAGGUUAAGGGUUGGGUUUAGGUUUAGAUGUUAGGGUGUGGGUUAGUGGUAGGUUUCCAUUUAAGCUGAGUGUGUAGGGUAAUUUUUAUGGUUAGGAUUAAGGUUAGAGUUAGGGUCAGGGUCAGGGUUAGGGUUAAGUUUAGGGUUAGUUUUAUGGUUAGGAUUGGGUUAGGUUCAUGGUUGGGGGAGAUUUAGUGUUAUGUUUAGUUUUAGGAUAGGGUUAGGGUGAAGUUGAUGUUAAGCGUGCGGGUUAGGGUUAGGGCUAGGGGUUAUUGUUCAGAUUAGUGUCAGGGGUAGGGUUAGGGAUAGGUUUAGGGUUUGUUUUAGUUUUGUUUAAGGUUAGGGUUUGAAUAAAGUUAGGGUAGGUUUAGGGUUAUGGUUAGGUCUGGGCUAAGGAUUAGGGUUAGAGUUAGGGUUAGGGGUGUUUUGGUUAGGUUUAGGGUAGGGUUUUAUUUAGGGUUAGGGUAAGAAUUAGAGUUACGUUUACACUUAAGGUGAAGGUUUUGGGUAUGUGUUACGGUUAGGGUUAGGGUUAGAGUUAGGAUUAGGGUUUAGGGUUAGGUUUAAUUUUAUGGUAGGGUUAAAGUUAAGGUUAAGGUUAGGUUGGAGUUAGGGUAGGGUUAGGAUUAGGAUUAGGUUUAGGGGGAGGUUUAGGGUCAGAGUUAUCGUAAGGGUUAGGUGUAGGGUGACUGGUGGGCCAAGGUUAAGGUUAGUGUUAGGUUUAGGGGUAGGGUUAGGGUUAAAGUUAGGGUUAGCUUUAGGUUAGGGAUAGGGUGAAGUUUAAGAUAGGGUGAGGGUUAGGGUUAUGGCUAAGGUUCGGGUUAGUUUUCGGGUUAGUGUUAAGGUUACGUUUAGGGUUAGGGUUAAGUUUAUGGGUUGUGUUUAGUUUUAGGGUUAGGGUUAGAUUUUAGGUUAGGGUUAAGUUUAGUGUAACAGUUAAGGUUACGGUUUGUGUUAGGCAUUGUGGUUGGGGUGAGGUUUAGGUUUAGGGUUAGGGUUGUGUAUGCUUAGGAUUAUGGUUAUGGUAAGGUGUUAGGGGUUAGAAGUGUAAUUUAGGGUUAGGGGUGGGUGAGGGUUCUGGUAAAGCAUUGUGGUUCUGACCAUGGUUAGGUUUGGUUUAGGGUUACGGUUAGCUUUAUGAUUAGGUUUCAGGUUAGUGUUCGAGUUAGAGUUAACGUUUGGGUUAGGCUUUGGUGUUAGGGGUUAGGGUUUGGGUUAGGGUUAGGGUUAUUGUUAGGGCUCAGGGGUUCAGGUUAGUGUUAGGGUUAGGGUUACGGAUAGCAUUAGGGUUAGGGUUGGGGAUACGGAUAGGGGUUAGGGUGAGGGUUACGGUUAGUUUUACAGUUAUGGUGAGUGUUCAGGGUAAGUGUUAUGGUUAUGGUUAGAGUUAGGGUUAGGGUUCGGGUGAAGUUUCAGUUAAUAGUGAGGGUUACGCUAAAAGUUAGGGUUAAUGUUAGAGUUAGGGUUAAGGUUAGCGUUAGUGUUAGGUUUAGGGUAGGUAAGGUUAGGGUUAAGACUAGGUUUACGGUAAAGGGUUGGGCUGGGUUAGGGUUAGGGUUAGGUUUAGAAUUAUACUUAGUGCUGAGUUUAGGGUUAGGGUUAGGGUCAGGAUUCGAGUUAUUGUUUGGUUUAGGUAUAGGUAGAGUUAAGGUUAGGUUUAAGUUUAGGUUUAGGGGAAGGGUUAGGUUUACGUCAGCGUUAGGUUUAGGAUUAGGGAUCGGGUUAGGGUUUGUGAAAGGGUUAGGGGUUCGUCUGAGGGUAAGUGUUAGGUUUACAGUUAAGCUGAUGUUUUAGGGUGUUAUGGUUAGGGUCAUUGUUAGGUUUAGCGUUCGGGCUAGAGUCAGGUGAUAGUUUAGCGUUAGGUUUAGGUUUAGUUUUAGGGUUAGGCUUAGGCUUAGGUUUAGGGUGAAAUUUAGGUUAAGGAUGAGGGUUAUGUUUAGGGUUAGUGUUAGGGUUAGGUGUUUGGGUUAAGGUUAGGGUCAGUUUAGGGUUCGGUUUAGAGUUCGGGUUAGCGUUAGGGUUCGGGUUAGGUGUUUGGGUUAACGUUAGGGUCAGGUUUAUGUUUGCAUUUAGGGUUAGUGUUGGGUUCGUUUUAGGGUUAGUGUUUGGGUGAAAUUUAAGUGAAGAGUGAGGGUUGAGCUUAGGGUUAGGGGUUAGGGUUAGGGUUAAGGUUCGUUUUAGGUUUAGGUUUAAGAUUAGGUUUAGGGUUAGGUUUAGGGUUAAAUCAUGGUUAGGCUAGGGCAUGGUUAAGGUUAGAGAUAGGGUGAGGUUAAGGGUUGGGUUUAGGUUUAGAUGUUAGGGUGUGGGUUAGUGGUAGGUUUCCAUUUAAGCUGAGUGUGUAGGGUAAUUUUUAUGGUUAGGAUUAAGGUUAGAGUUAGGGUCAGGGUCAGGGUUAGGGUUAAGUUUAGGGUGAGUUUUAUGGUUAGGAUUGGGUUAGGUUCAUGGUUGGGGGAGAUUUAGUGUUAUGUUUAGUUUUAGGAUAGGGUUGGAGUGAAGUUGAUGUUAAGCGUGCGGGUUAGGGUUAGGGCUAGGGGUUAUUGUUCAGAUUAGUGUCAGGGAUAGGGUUAGGGAUAGGUUUAGGGUUUGUUUUAGUUUUGUUUAAGGUUAGGGUUUGAAUAAAGUUAGGGUAGGUUUAGGGUUAUGGUUAGGUCUGGGCUAAGGAUUAGGGUUAGAGUUAGGGUUAGGGGUGUUUUGGUUAGGUUUAGGGUAGGGUUUUAUUUAGGGUUAGGGUAAGAAUUAGAGUUACGUUUACACUUAAGGUGAAGGUUUUGGGUAUGUGUUACGGUUAGGGUUAGGGUUAGAGUUAGGAUUAGGGUUUAGGGUUAGGUUUAAUUUUAUGGUAGGGUUAAAGUUAAGGUUAAGGUUAGGUUGGAGUUAGGGUAGGGUUAGGAUUAGGAUUAGGUUUAGGGGGAGGUUUAGGGUCAGAGUUAUCGUAAGGGUUAGGUGUAGGGUGACUGGUGGGCCAAGGUUAAGGUUAGUGUUAGGUUUAGGGGUAGGGUUAGGGUUAAAGUUAGGGUUAGCUUUAGGUUAGGGAUAGGGUGAAGUUUAAGAUAGGGUGAGGGUUAGGGUUAUGGCUAAGGUUCGGGUUAGUUUUCGGGUUAGUGUUACGGUUACGUUUAGGGUUAGGGUUAAGUUUAUGGGUUGUGUUUAGUUUUAGGGUUAGGGUUAGAUUUUAGGUUAGGGUUAAGUUUAGUGUAACAGUUAAGGUUACGGUUUGUGUUAGGCAUUGUGGUUGGGGUGAGGUUUAGGUUUAGGGUUAGGGUUGUGUAUGCUUAGGAUUAUGGUUAUGGUAAGGUGUUAGGGGUUAGAAGUGUAGUUUAGGGUUAGGGGUGGGUGAGGGUUCUGGUAAAGCAUUGUGGUUCUGACCAUGGUUAGGUUUGGUUUAGGGUUACGGUUAGCUUUAUGAUUAGGUUUCAGGUUAGUGUUCGAGUUAGAGUUAACGUUUGGGUUAGGCUUUGGUGUUAGGGGUUAGGGUUUGGGUUAGGGUUAGGGUUAUUGUUAGGGCUCAGGGGUUCAGGUUAGUGUUAGGGUUAGGGUUACGGAUAGCAUUAGGGUUAGGGUUGGGGAUACGGUUAGGGGUUAGGGUGAGGGUUACGGUUAGUUUUACAGUUAUGGUGAGUGUUCAGGGUAAGUGUUAUGGUUAUGGUUAGAGUUAGGGUUAGGGUUCGGGUGAAGUUUCAGUUAAUAGUGAGGGUUACGCUAAAAGUUAGGGUUAAUGUUAGAGUUAGGGUUAAGGUUAGCGUUAGUGUUAGGUUUAGGGUAGGUAAGGUUAGGGUUAAGACUAGGUUUACGGUAAAGGGUUGGGCUGGGUUAGGGUUAGGGUUAGGUUUAGAAUUAUACUUAGUGCUGAGUUUAGGGUUAGGGUUAGGGUCAGGAUUCGAGUUAUUGUUUGGUUUAGGUAUAGGUAGAGUUAAGGUUAGGUUUAAGUUUAGGUUUAGGGGAAGGGUUAGGUUUACGUCAGCGUUAGGUUUAGGAUUAGGGAUCGGGUUAGGGUUUGUGAAAGGGUUAGGGGUUCGUCUGAGGGUAAGUGUUAGGUUUACAGUUAAGCUGAUGUUUUAGGGUGUUAUGGUUAGGGUCAUUGUUAGGUUUAGCGUUCGGGCUAGAGUCAGGUGAUAGUUUAGGGUUAGGUUUAGGUUUAGUUUUAGGGUUAGGCUUAGGCUUAGUUUUAGGGUGAAGUUUAGGUUAAGGAUGAGGGUUAUGUUUAGGGUUAGUGUUAGGGUUAGGUGUUUGGGUUAAGGUUAGGGUCAGUUUAGGGUUCGGUUUAGAGUUCGGGUUAGCGUUAGGGUUCGGGUUAGGUGUUUGGGUUAACGUUAGGGUCAGGUUUAUGUUUGCUUUUAGGGUUAGUGUUGGGUUCGUUUUAGGGUUAGUGUUUGGGUGAAAUUUAAGUGAAGAGUGAGGGUUGAGCUUAGGGUUAGGGGUUAGGGUUAGGGUUAAGGUUCGUUUUAGGUUUAGGUUUAAGAUUAGGUUUAGGGUUAGGUUUAGGGUUAAAUCAUGGUUAGGCUAGGGCAUGGUUAAGGUUAGAGAUAGGGUGAGGUUAAGGGUUGGGUUUAGGUUUAGAUGUUAGGGUGUGGGUUAGUGGUAGGUUUCCAUUUAAGCUGAGUGUGUAGGGUAAUUUUUAUGGUUAGGAUUAAGGUUAGAGUUAGGGUCAGGGUCAGGGUUAGGGUUAAGUUUAGGGUUAGUUUUAUGGUUAGGAUUGGGUUAGGUUCAUGGUUGGGGGAGAUUUAGUGUUAUGUUUAGUUUUAGGAUAGGGUUAGGGUGAAGUUGAUGUUAAGCGUGCGGGUUAGGGUUAGGGCUAGGGGUUAUUGUUCAGAUUAGUGUCAGGGGUAGGGUUAGGGAUAGGUUUAGGGUUUGUUUUAGUUUUGUUUAAGGUUAGGGUUUGAAUAAAGUUAGGGUAGGUUUAGGGUUAUGGUUAGGUCUGGGCUAAGGAUUAGGGUUAGAGUUAGGGUUAGGGGUGUUUUGGUUAGGUUUAGGGUAGGGUUUUAUUUAGGGUUAGGGUAAGAAUUAGAGUUACGUUUACACUUAAGGUGAAGGUUUUGGGUAUGUGUUACGGUUAGGGUUAGGGUUAGAGUUAGGAUUAGGGUUUAGGGUUAGGUUUAAUUUUAUGGUAGGGUUAAAGUUAAGGUUAAGGUUAGGUUGGAGUUAGGGUAGGGUUAGGAUUAGGAUUAGGUUUAGGGGGAGGUUUAGGGUCAGAGUUAUCGUAAGGGUUAGGUGUAGGGUGACUGGUGGGCCAAGGUUAAGGUUAGUGUUAGGUUUAGGGGUAGGGUUAGGGUUAAAGUUAGGGUUAGCUUUAGGUUAGGGAUAGGGUGAAGUUUAAGAUAGGGUGAGGGUUAGGGUUAUGGCUAAGGUUCGGGUUAGUUUUCGGGUUAGUGUUAAGGUUACGUUUAGGGUUAGGGUUAAGUUUAUGGGUUGUGUUUAGUUUUAGGGUUAGGGUUAGAUUUUAGGUUAGGGUUAAGUUUAGUGUAACAGUUAAGGUUACGGUUUGUGUUAGGCAUUGUGGUUGGGGUGAGGUUUAGGUUUAGGGUUAGAGUUGUGUAUGCUUAGGAUUAUGGUUAUGGUAAGGUGUUAGGGGUUAGAAGUGUAGUUUAGGGUUAGGGGUGGGUGAGGGUUCUGGUAAAGCAUUGUGGUUCUGACCAUGGUUAGGUUUGGUUUAGGGUUACGGUUAGCUUUAUGAUUAGGUUUCAGCUUAGUGUUCGAGUUAGAGUUAACGUUUGGGUUAGGCUUUGGUGUUAGGGGUUAGGGUUUGGGUUAGGGUUAGGGUUAUUGUUAGGGCUCAGGGGUUCAGGUUAGUGUUAGGGUUAGGGUUACGGAUAGCAUUAGGGUUAGGGUUGGGGAUACGGUUAGGGGUUAGGGUGAGGGUUACGGUUAGUUUUACAGUUAUGGUGAGUGUUCAGGGUAAGUGUUAUGGUUAUGGUUAGAGUUAGGGUUAGGGUUCGGGUGAAGUUUCAGUUAAUAGUGAGGGUUACGCUAAAAGUUAGGGUUAAUGUUAGAGUUAGGGUUAAGGUUAGCGUUAGUGUUAGGUUUAGGGUAGGUAAGGUUAGGGUUAAGACUAGGUUUACGGUAAAGGGUUGGGCUGGGUUAGGGUUAGGGUUAGGUUUAGAAUUAUACUUAGUGCUGAGUUUAGGGUUAGGGUUAGGGUCAGGAUUCGAGUUAUUGUUUGGUUUAGGUAUAGGUAGAGUUAAGGUUAGGUUUAAGUUUAGGUUUAGGGGAAGGGUUAGGUUUACGUCAGCGUUAGGUUUAGGAUUAGGGAUCGGGUUAGGGUUUGUGAAAGGGUUAGGGGUUCGUCUGAGGGUAAGUGUUAGGUUUACAGUUAAGCUGAUGUUUUAGGGUGUUAUGGUUAGGGUCAUUGUUAGGUUUAGCGUUCGGGCUAGAGUCAGGUGAUAGUUUAGGGUUAGGUU
This is a long non-coding RNA of Loxodonta africana (African savanna elephant), 57855 nucleotides long. RefSeq lists it as uncharacterized. NCBI's taxonomy places the organism in Eukaryota, Metazoa, Chordata, Mammalia, Proboscidea, Elephantidae. The transcript has 6 exons. The record is from RefSeq and is a predicted model, not a curated record.